RNAcentral lists this long non-coding RNA (59017 nucleotides) under Ananas comosus (pineapple). RNAcentral's name for it is "long non-coding RNA (ACOM_LNC002267)". The record is from RNAcentral. Lineage: Eukaryota; Viridiplantae; Streptophyta; Magnoliopsida; Poales; Bromeliaceae.
CAUGAUUGUGACAAGAACCUAGAAGGGUUAGUAAACGAAAAGUGACACUUUGACCUAGAUUUAGCAAGUGACAUUGACGAGUCUAGAACCCUUAGUAAACAAGUGUGGCAUUUGGCAUGAGGUCAAGAAUAUAGCACUUAGAGAACAAGUGUGGCAUGAGUACAAGAACUUGAUAGUGUAAAUGACACAAGUGAUAGUGAAGAAUGAUUGAGAUAAUAGGACACUUCAACCUUAGUGUACGGGUCAUUUGAGCAUGGUUUUUCCUUAAAGUCAAGGAAUGGAUUGAAUUUGAAUCCUCGAAUGUAGGAUUGAUCGUACUCACUUUUAGUCCUUACUCGAGGUUGUGAUAGCUCCCCCUCGGGCGAUGUGCUCUGGAGUCGACAUCACUGGGUUGUAGCGAGUAUCUCCCCAGAGGACGGUCCCAUCGGGUUGUAGCGAGUAUCUCCCCGAUUAUUGGAAUUUUGAGUUGGUGAGUUUAUUGAGGGCGAAACCUACGGGUUAGCCAAGAGAUUGGGUAUUGGCACUAUGACCUUACAUUCAUCAUGAGCAUUACAUUGUGCAUAUCAUUUUAUAUUGUUCAGGCAUAUUAGUUGCAUUUGCUAGUUGGUUACUUACUUUCCUUUAUUCUAAUAUGCCUGAUUAGACCUAGUGGGAUAGUCGGUGUGGUUGGUUGCCGAACCCACUGGGAACUUUGUUGUAGUUCUCACACCCCUAUUUCCACAGAGCCGGGACCCAGCGAGCCGGCGAACGAUCGCAGUAAGGGCAUCGCGUCCUAGGUAGAGACCGCCCGAGAUGUUUAUUUACUAUAGUUGCAUACCCCUUUUAUUAUAUCAUCUUUUGUACUUUGAUGAUUUAGUUGUUAAAGGAAAGAACAUGUAUGAUGUAAAAGAUCCUUAUAUUUAAAUGAAAGAAUGAAACUUUGAGAUCCUGUAAUGUAAAAGAAAAGAAAUGAUGUAAAGAUUGUAAUCCGUUCUUAAGUGUAGUUGUUUACUUUCACUCUUGGCUAUUGCUCGCCCUCGUGCAAGCCAUUAUGUAUGCUUCCGUUUUGUGCAAAAUUCAUACUCUAUUGAUACUUGUUGUUGAGCCUUGGGCGGACAGGGGAGGCUCUGUCCGUUUGGCGUCUGUUCGACGCACUCGAACCGGCCAAAAAGGAUCGGGCUCGGGGCAUGACAGCGGAGGCGGAAACAGUCCGUCUCGCCUCUUACCCUCAUACUCUCGCCCUUGCCCUUGCCCUCGUCCAUGCACCCCCCACCUUCCUCGCCUCUGACCCAGCCAAGGCCGCGCCGCGACUUUUUUUUUUUUGCUUUUUUCUUUUCCUUUCUUCUCCGACUCUUCUCCACAGUCUUCGACGACGACGCCUCUCUCGCCCUUCCCCGCCCUUCUCAUCUCUCCGUUUCCCUCAUUUUCUGCCGCCUCUGACGACGAUUUAUCUUCGCCGGCGCCGACGUCGACACCGUAGAGGUCACUGCGGCGCUACAGUCUCGGAGCGGGGGGUCCUUAGCGGCGUCGUAGCUGUUGGCAGAGAAGGUGACAAAAAAAACUUAUAGAAAAAACAGAAAAAAAAAAUAAAGAUAAAAAAUUAUAUAAAAAGAAGGAUGAAGAUGAAAUUGCAUCGUUAAUUACAAAAAAAAUUAUAAGUUGCACUAUUUAAGAUGUAAACUGCUGCUUUAAGAUAAAAAUUAUUCUAUUUGAACGAAAAUUACGCUCUUUGGGAGAUGUUUAUACUGUUUCUAUUCUUAUUGCACUCUUUCAGAUGUAAACUGUAAUUAUUAAGAUGAAAAUUACACUCUUUAAACGAAAGUUUCACUGUUUUCCUCUUGUUAUACUAUUUUUUAUCUUAAACUGCAUCGUUUCAAGUGAUAUUUUUACUAUUUCUUCUCUUGUUGCACUGUUUCUCCUCUUGUUGCACUAUUUCUCCUCUUGUUUACACAGAAAUGGUGCAACAAAAGGAGAAACAGUGCAACAAGAGGAGAAAGAGUAUAAAUAUCUUUUAAAAGGGUGCAGUUUCUCCUCUUAUUGCAUUGUUUCUCCUCUUGUUGCACUAUUUCUCCUAUUGUUUAUACAGAAAUGGUGCAACAAGAGGAGAAACAGUGCAACAAGAGAAGAAACAGUAGAUAUAUCUCUUAAAACAGUGCAGUUUCUGCUCUUGUUGCACCAUUUCUGGGUAAAGAGAAGAAACAGUAGAUAUAUCUCUUAAAACAGUGCAGUUUCUUCUCUUAUUGCACUAUUUUUUCUCUUGUUUACAUAGAAAUGGUGCAACAAGAGGAAAAACAGUAUAUAUAUCUCUUAAAAUAGUGCAGUUUCUCCUAUUGUUGCACUGUUUCUCCUCUUGUUGCACUAUUUCUUCUCUUGUUUACACAGAAAUGGUGCAACAAGUGGAGAAACAAUGCAACAAGAGGAGAAACAGUAUAAAUAUCUCUUAAAAUGGUGCAGUUUAAGAUAAAAAAUAGUAUAACAAGAGGAGAAAUGGUGCAACAAGAGGAGAAACAGUGCAACAAGAGGAGAAACAGUGCAACAAGAGAAGAAACAGUAGAUAUAUCUCUUAAAACAGUGCAGUUUCUCCUCUUGUUGCACUAUUUCUCCUCUACAAGAGAAGAAACAGUGCAACAAGAGAAGAAACAGUAGAUAUAUCUCUUAAAACAGUGCAGUUUCUCCUCUUGUUGCACUAUUUCUCCUCUUGUUUACACAGAAAUGGUGCAACAAGAGGAGAAACAGUGCAACAAGAGGAGAAACAGUAUAAAUAUCUCUUAAAAUGGUGCAGUUUAAGAUAAAAAAUAGUGUAACAAGAGGAGAAAUGGUGCAACAAGAGGAGAAACAGUAUAAAUAUCUCUUAAAAGGGUGCAGUUUAAGAUAAAAAAUAGUGUAACAAGAGGAGAAAUGGUGCAACAAGAGGAGAAACAGUGCAACUUUUGUUUAAAGAGUGUAACUUUUAUCUUAAUGGAUGCAGUUUACAUCUGAAAGAGUGCAAUAAGAAGAGAAACAGUGUAAAUAUCUCUCAAAGAGUGUAAUUUUCGUUUAAAGAGUGUAAUUUUCAUCUUAAAGCUGCAGUUUACAUAUUAAGUAGUGCAACUUAUAAUUUUUUUUGCAGUUAACGAUACAAUUUCAUGUUCAUCCUUCUUUUUAUAUAAUUUUUUAUCUUUAUUUUUUUUCUGCUUUUUCUAUAAUUUUUUUUUGUCACCCUCUCUGCCAACAGCCACGGUGCCGGCGACAACGCCGCUAAGGACCCCCGUUCCGAGCCUGUAGCACCGCAGUGACCUCCACAGUGUCGACGUCGGCGCCGGCGAAGAUGCAUCGUCGUCAGAGGUGGCAGAGAAUAAGGGAGAGGGAGAGAUGAGAAGGGCGGGGAAGGACGAGAAAGGCGUCGUCGUCGGAGACGGUAGAGAAGAGUCGGAAAAGAAAAGAAAAGAAAAAAGCAAAAAAUGAAAAAGUCGCGGGCGGACUUGGCGGGGUUGGAGGCGAGGAAGGUGGAGGGUGCGUGGAUGAGGGCAAGGGCGAGGGCGAGGGCGAGAGAAUGAGGGUGAGAGGCGAGACGGACCGUUUCCGCCUCCGCUCUGCCUCCGCUCUGCCGGCGAAAAAAAAAAAAAAAGAACGAGAGAAACGAAGAGGAGAGAGAAAGAGGAAAGAGAAAAAGUAAAAAGGAUAUUUUGGUCAGUUUGCUGAAAAAGCGGACCGAAUCUGCAAAAACAAAAAAGAUUCAUGGCCUGAUUUUGCAAAAGCCCAAAAUAAGUGGAUUUUUUAUGUAAAUUGGCCAAAGAAAAAGAAAAGUUUGGAUAAAAUAAAACUUUAGAGGGAAAAAUAGGCAAUUCAAAACUUCAUAUAAAUUGAUCAUCUUAUUACUCACCAACAUCACAGCUUUAACAUUCUCAUGUGUAAUGGGCACUUCCAAGUCCUUUUGCUCCCUCGCUUGCAGCAGCACAUCCAACAAGUCCUCCUCCUCAGUUUUUUGCGGCUUCUGCCGGCGGCCUCGAAUGGUGUCGUCAAAGAUCGCAUCCAACUCCCUGUGGACCUUUGUGAUCUCGCGCAUCGUGAUAACAUUGAGAAAUCGUAGUGAAGGAAACAAAUCCGAGGGACUGAAACCGGAGGCCAAUUCCCCGCAUUUCUUGGCAACCACCAGGAACCUGCUUUGGUGCUUGAAUAUCUUUCCGAAUGUUGCCCUUCAAAUUUUAGUUAUUAUAAGUACGAGAUAGGGACUAAUUAAAAGAAAUUUUUGUGUAUUUGUUGGCUACGAACAUGAAUUUCAAAUCUCGACCUGCGAGUUUGUAUAUAUAACUAAAUAUUGUGAACUAAUUAAUGCAUGUAAUUAUAUAUUGUUGUGUAAAAUGGCUAUAUUUCCACAACAUUUCACUUUUCUUUUACUUCAUUUUUAGUGUAGUUCUAAAAUAUAUAGUGAGGGAUGAGAUUGCAAUCAUAGAAAAACUUCGAAAUACCAAAAGCUUUUCGUAGUAUAUAUAUGGACUUGCAAAUAAAUUAUAUGCAAGCAACAUAUUUAUUACGUAAUAAUACCCGUGUACCCGCCAAGCUGCAGGAGCCGGUCGAAAUGGGGCGGGAAUUUGGAAACAUUUUUCUUACCAAGGGUUGUCAACGGGUAUUAUUUCAUCUUGGCAGCUAGAGGAAGCCUAUUAUAUAAUACUUACACGAUGCCAUCAAUAACUAAUCAAUAAUAUCUUUUCUUUAAGUAAAAGUAUAAUAAAAAUAUUUUCCUAAUAAAUUUAUAUCUAUACUUCUAUACUAUAUAUAUAUAAAAGCGUAUAGAAAUUCUAAUAAUGACAGACGGAAUUUAAAAAGAAACAGAAUAAUAUUCCCUAUAUUAUCUAUAAACUGAUAUGAUCAAUUUAUUAAAAAAGUCUCAAAUAAGAAUGAACGGUUAUGAUCAAUUUAUUAAAAAUAUAGAAAUGACAGACUAAAAAAAAUAAAAGAAUAUUCGCUACGAACGGUUAUGAUCAAUUUGUUAAAAAAAAAACUCAAAUAAGAACGAACAGUUAUGAUUAAUCUGUCAAAAAAAAAUAGUAAUAUCCAUCUAUAAAUUUAAUUCUACGAACGAUUAUAAUCAAUUUGUUAAAAAUAUUAAGAUCAAUUUGUUAAAAACUAACAUUCAUUUACAUCUAUUUUAUAUUAAAAUUUAAAUUUAAGUUUAAAUUGCGAAUGAAAUUUAGUUUUUUAUACCAAAUUUGACUUAAUAGUUUAAAAUUUUAGUUAUAUAACGGAUCAAAAUUAAAUUUUAAAUUUUAAAAUAAAUAUCAAUUAAAUUUUGAUGUUUUUAGUUUAAAACACAUACUCAAAUUUUAGAUCCAUCAUUAAUUAAAAAUAUAUAAAAAUAUUUAAUCUAUAUAAAAAAAAGAACAAUAUAAAAUAUUACAUAUAUUUUCUAAUAAAAUAUAACAUAUAAAUUUAUAAAUUAUAAUUUUUAUUACAAAUUCUAAAUUANGCGAAAUGGAAAAAGGGUGGGGGUUUCCCUUUCGCCACCCAUCUAAAAAAAAUUAUUAUCUUUACAUUUUAUUUUUAGUAGUUGAAAAGAAUUAAACCAAACAAAAAUAUCUUAUUGAAAUUAAGUAAAUCGAGCCGAAAUGACCAAAUUAUUUUUGGUUGAUUCAGUUCAUAUGAUUUUAAUUUGAUCCGAUUCGGUUAAAGAAAAAAAAAAGAAAUACCAGUCCAAUCAAACCAACUUAUGGUCAUCCUAGGAAUAAGAAAAGAAAUACCAGUCCAAUCAAACCAACUUACGGUCAUCCUAGGAAUAAGACUAAUGAGAGAAUUUGUACACACGCAGCUUUAUUGUCAAAGUGCGUGCGUUGGGAAUGCGAGGAAAUUCACUAGAAAAUUCGUGGCGUCUUAAUAAUGAAUUGAACAUAGCCUGACUCGUUAAGUAUAGGAUUGAAAAAUAUAGUUCGUAUUAUGCUCAUUUAUUAACGAGUCGAAUAUGAAUUGGCUUGCGAACAGCAUGUUAGAUUAUCAGCCAGACUUCUGGUUGAAAAAUUGAAAGAAAAUUAGAAAAAUAGAAUCUUAAUGUAAUAAUUAAUUUAUAAAAUAUAGAGCUUUUUAUAUUUAGGAUGGUCUAUUAUCCAAAUAGUAAAAAUAUUCACUAUUAAUAUAAACAUCAAUAACUCAAAUCUAUCUAUUUUUAGAAUAUCAUUCAAUUUUAACCGUUCAUUUUAUACUCACUUGAUAAACUUUAUUAUAAUUUUGAAAAAUCAUGAAACUUAUUUUCUAGAAGUUUUGCAUGCUUAAAAUAAUAUUUAAUGGUGUGGAUAUCGUCAAUUCGGAAGCUCUAUCACCAAAAAAAUUUUAUGAGUACAAAUAGCUCUAUACUUAUAAGAGUAUUGUAUUCCUAUUAUAUAUAUAUAUAUAUAUAUAGCUAGGCUACUAUACUAUCGGUAGCACGGAGCGCUCCGUGCUACCAAGUUAUUUUCGGUAAUGCGGCUUCCAAAUCAACGAUCGGCUCCGUUAGAUUUGAUCUACACUAUUAAAAGUAUUUAGAAACUAAAUUUCAUAAUUUUUCGAUAUCAUUUACCUAUCAAACAAGUAGUCUAAAAUUGAACGGCUGAAAAUAAAAAUCUCAUAAAGAAUGAUGAUAAAAUAUUUAAAUUCAAUAUCAGAUAUACUGAUCUUACUCUAAAUAGUGAAAAGAAUUUUCUAUAAAAUUUCAUCGGAUUUGGAUUAUUUUACACUGUUAAACUCUCAAACACACCACAUCGGCCUUUAAAAUUAUCAAUUUUGAGAUCUUUUGAUCAGUAGUCAAAUUAUGUCGAAAAAAUCUGAAAUUUAGUUUCCAAAUACUUUCAAUAGUGUAGAUCAAGUCUAACUGAGCCGAUCGUCGAUUUGGAAGCCACAUCAUCGAAAACAACUUGGUAGCACGGAGUGCUCCGUGCUACUGAUAGUAUAGUAGCCGAACUCUAUAUAUAUAUAUAUAUAUAUAUAUAUAUAGAGAGAGAGAGAGAGAGAGAGAGAGAGAGAGAGAGAGAGUCCGGCUAUGGUGCUUGUAAAAGUACCAAGCAUUUCAUGCUUAUAAAUUUUUUACCAUUAGAUUUACGCCUUUAAUUAUUUUCACCCGUUAGAUUAUACUAUUCAACCAACCACUCAAUCAACCAUAGGGAGCUUGUAAAAUUACCAAGCAUUUGGUGCUUGUAAAUUUUUUACUGUUAGAUUUACGUUUUUAAUUAUUUUUACCCGUUAGAUUAUACUAUUCAACCAACCAUUCAAUCAACCGUAGGGGGCCCACAUCAUCCUAACCGCACAUUCCUUAAUCCAAGGGUUGAAAACUUACAAGCACGUACCAAUGACUUGAUACUUUUAAAAGCAUAGGAGCUCAAUUUUAUAUAUAUAUAUAUAUAUAUAUAUAUGAGCAGGACUGCUGUGCUCUCAGGAGCACGGAGGCCUUCGUGCUCCUGAGCCAUUUUCGAUGAUAGAAUUUUCGAAUCGACGAUCGGCUCCGUUAGAAUAUUUGAAGUUUUUAGAAAAUAAUUUUUACGAUUUUUUGAUAUCAUUUACCUAGUGAUUGAUAAGCGUUAAAAAUCAAUAAGUUUUAAUUGUUGAUAUCUGCCGUUUUCAAGUUUAACGGUAUAGAAAUAUUCAAAUCAGAUAAAAUUUUGAUACAAAAUUCUUUAUACUAUCUACAACAAGAUCAAUAUUUCUGAUCGAAAAUUUUAAUGCUUUAUCACUAUUUUUUAUUAAUUUUUUAUUUUCAGCCGUUAAAAAUUAUUGAUUUUGAAUCCUUUUGAUUACUAGGUAAAUGAUAUCNUGAUCUGUAAGUUUGAUUUUAUUCUUAUUACAAAAUUAGUUAGAUAUUAAUCACAAUCAGAUUUUCGUUGCGGUAUUUGUUCUAACAAUCUAAGGCGUAUUUUCAAUUUGAUUGUUGUUAAAAUCUAACGGAUGUUAAUCUGUAUUAAAUUAAUUUUAUACGUAUAUAAUUUGUUUGUUAAUUUGUUUGUUGGCAUUUAAAUAUAAUUUUUUUUUGGGAUUAGCACUUUAACCUAUAAUUGCAUAUUAUGUAAUUUCUUGUUUAAAUUACAUUUUAUUUGAUGAGUAUUUAAAAAAAAAAAAAAUUGCCUUUACUGUAGCUCUUUUGGGGAAAAAAAGAGGUACGGACAUUAUGGAUUAUUUAUAGUUUUCACUGUUUGUCUAUAUGUUAAAAAGAAAAAAGAAAAAAAAGGCUGUUUUGCUAGAAUAAUAAAUAUCUUUUUAAUCAAGUAUUUAAAAAAAAAAGUUCUGUACCUGCAUUGAUUUUUUUUUUAAAAAAAAGAAAUUUUUUUGCUACAGUGAAAUUAAUCUUUACUGUGUAUGGUUUUUUGAGUUGUUGCUACAGUAAAAGCUCUUUAAUGAAAGAAAAAAUUCUGCUGCAAAAUUAAUUUUAAACAAUUUUGCUCCAAGUGGGAUUUCAACCCACACUUUCUAAAAGCAUAGUUUUUAAGCGAGAUCACCUAACAAGCAGUACUAAUACUAUUGCAUUUUUUUUUAUUGUUGCUGUCACUGGAAACUCUAUUUGUUGGAUUUAAUAUCACAACUAUCUAACUUCUCAGCACGACUGAAUAUACAACAGCUAGCACAUAUUUAUUGUGAUAAUUUUGUUGAUUGUAUUUAAUAUUUUUAUACAUUACUUGCAAUAUAUUGUUUGCAAACAAAUUACCUAAUUAAAAUCAAAUAUUUUAAAAUUGUUUCUGCAAUCUAUUUGUUGUUGAACCGAAUUUUGUUAAACAUGAUUAAAUUUUAUAAUUUUUAAAUUUUUAGUAUAUUUCAGAACUUGUCGGGGUUACUCUUUUAUCAGUUUGAUAAAUUUUGAUAUUAUAAUUGCUCUCGUGAUUUUAUCCUAGUGUUCAUCUUGGAAACGAAUUUUGCAAAUUCUAAGAUUGGGAGGUAAAUUAUUUUGGGACAUAAAUUUAUUAGAUGGUUAUUUUCAUAAUAUUAUUUAUUUGAUUUUAUCAGAUCUGAACAGAACUUUGCAGAUUAUUUGACGAACGGCCUGAAUAGGACUAAGGUCCUGGAGUCAUCGAGGAGGAUGGGACUUGCCCAUAAUGGGCCUUCCUGCAGUGGGAACCCAACCUUUGUGAUAGGAGAUCCCUUGAAGAAGGUUCAAUAUGGUAAAAACAAGCUGUCAGGAUGGCCAAAGAGCACUUUCUACAAAUUUUAUAUAGGAGCUUUAGCUCCAAUCCCAUCCUUAUGGUGAGUAGUGCUCUGUGUAGUGGAUUAGGUUGAGCUGAGAGCUCUUAAUGGGAUCCAAGGCGAUAAUUUUCGCGAGAUGUGACUCUACACACAUCCCUGGAGGAAACCACCUAUAUAAGAGUAUCCGUAUGUGGCCGCGGCUAUGUGAUAUGGGCUAUCCAUAGAAACUCUUAUGAAAAAUCAAGGUACUGUGCAUGGCCAUUAACGCACAGACCCGCGGCGGAGAAUUCUGUACUGUGUGUGUGGUAGUUGAAGUCAGGGCCAAAGGAACGUAGUUCAAGACCUGGUUCACUCCGAUUCCUUCUGAUGGAAACUAUUUACACUAAGUGAGGUUAAGUCUCUUAAAGACACCUUACCCAUUGCAUAGUAUAAAACACCCAGUAAAUUUGAAUUUAAUUCGUAAUUUUAAAAUUUUGAGUUUUGUGGGGGAUUGUUGGUGAAAACUCAAAAUUUUGAGUUUGAAUUUAUUUUAUUUGCACUUUGAUGUUUUAUUAUUUAUUAUUUUAUUUAUUUAUUACUUUAAUUAUUUUAUUUUAUUUAAUUAUUUUAUUAUCUUUCUUAAUGAGAAAGAAACUAACGGAAUUUUUUCCGUUCCGUUUCUUUCGCGUUACGUUGGGCGGGUUCCGCUUCUUUCUCGUAAGAGAAAAAACGUAAAAUCCUCUUUCCUUUUUAGGUCUUUUUCCUUCUCUUCUUGCUCAAGAUAGAGCAGGCAGAAAAGAUUUUUGAUCAUUGGUUAAUCUCUAUCUAUUUAUUCUUUUAUCUUUCAUUUUUGAAAAUUCCCCUUAUCCACUGGGUGUUGAGAAUCUUCGUCAACCUCCUUCACGAUCGUGCUCGCAGGAGGAGGAAUUCCGGUCGUACCUUGGGGUGUUAUUUCCGGUUAAUCCCGCACGUAAGGACGGAAAUACGCCUUAGGGCAGUGCCUCGCACGCUUUCGGAUAAGAUCAAAUCGUUAUUUGGAUAUUUGCGUUGAUCUGUAAGUUUGAUUUUAUUCUUAUUACAAAAUUAGUUAGAUAUUAAUCACAAUCAGAUUUUCGUUGCGGUAUUUGUUCUAACAGAAUUAUUGUUCUCGUUUUAACGGCUUAUCCUGAGAGAACCAUUAAGGGUGAGAAUAAUAUAUAGAACUCACCCCAUUCUAGAACAGCGUUAUUUCAAUGCUGUUCCUUCCCCCCAUUUUAUACUUAUACUCGAAUCAAACAAAGCUUUAGAUUAAAAUUUAAUCAAUUUUAAUUACUCUAUUAGUUACCAACUGUUAAUAGGUCUACUAUUAAGUUCUUAAUUUAUUUACAAAUAUAAAAUGUUAGCUUUGAUGUGCUAAUAUAUUUUAAACUUAAUCAAACACUUUUAAAAUAACAUAUUUUAUUCUUAUAUAUAUAUAUAUAAGUAAAAUCAUAUUUGAUUGGUACAUACUUUUUCUAAUUUAAUGUGUUAAACUUUCUUGGAUAAUAAAUAAAAAAUCGAUAAAAUUUAAACUGGGAUGAUAUUUUUUGUUAUAUAUAUUUCAUGGCAUUUUAACAAUAGGGAACUUAAUUGAAAUAAAUAAUAAAGAUUAGAUCAUAGUUAGUUAAUUCGGAUUCGGCAAAAAUUCGGUACAGGUAUAUGUUGAUAAGUAAUCCAAUAUUUUUGUUUGGUUUAGAUUUAUUUCUGUCAAGUUUAUCCUUCCAACAAUAUAAUUCGGAUAAAAUUCGUCUUUUAAAUUUUAAAUUCGUUGAAAACUACGGCUAAAAAAUGGAUUCAUCAAUUAUUCGGAUACGUGAUUUAUACGGAUAUUAUACGUUCACCAAUUAAAAAUUCGAAAUAAAAAAUUCGGCUAUUAAAUUAAGUUUUUUUUUCCUCAAGAUUUAUACUAUUAGCAUAAAUAUUCAUAUUUCUUAAAAAUAUAAGAAUAAAUAGCUAUAAAAGUAAGCUAAUUAAGUAAAAAAUUCAUAAAGUGCAAUAUAUUCUUGUAUUUUUUGCUCAUUAUCCAAAUAUGCUUGUAUUUUUGGCUCAUUAUCCAAAAAAUUCGGGAUCUGACGAAUAUUAAUUUGGCUCAUUAUCCAAAUAUGCUUGUAUUUUUUCGUUUUGGGCCAGCCGGCGCGCGAAGCUGGCGAGCUGUGACGCCCCAACUUUCCAGGGGGUCACCCAUCCUAGGACUACUCCCGUCCUAGCACGCUUAACUCUCUUAACCUCUUGGGCCUUGCCAUCACCCAAAAUGCUUAAGCCGGGUUAAGAGUUUAGCCCUAUUAUAUCUUAUAUAUAGGACUAUCUGGGGUCUCACAAUCUCCCCUCCUUUAAGCCCUGACGUCCUCGUCAGGCUCAGACUCACAAGUACCAGGCGAUGUGAGACUCGUCUCGCUAGCCCGUCAUCCAGACCCUGACUCAGCCGAGACUCAUCUCACACUUCCGGCUGGUAAUUGGCUCUGAUACCAUCUGUGACGCCCCAACUUCCCAGGGGGUCACCCAUCCUAGGACUACUCCUGUCCUAGCACGCUUAACUCUCUUAACCUCUUGGACCUUGCCACCACCCAAAAUGCUUAAGCCGGGUUAAGAGUUUAGCCCUAUUAUAUCUUAUAUAUAGGACUAUCUGGGGUCUCACACGAGCGCUCGAGGGUGCGAGCUGCGAGCGCGUGAGGGUGCGUGCGGGAGCGCGCGUGGGAGCGCGCGGGCGCGGGCAGCGCGGGUGCGAGGCGUUUUUUUGGACCGAAUAAUUCGGAGUUCGCGUAUAAUACGCGAACAAGUAUUUUUUGCCAAAAGUACGCGUUUUUUCCCCAUUUUUUAGAAAAAUACGAAUUCGACCGUUUAAUUCGUUUUUUCAAAAAUUCAUGAAUAAUUUGCGAAUUAACUAACAUAGGAUUAGAUAUCUAAUUUAAGACCAAAAUAAAUGCGACUAGGUUGGAAACGAUAGACUAAUUAAAUCCAACUAACUAUAUAUAUAUAUAUAUAUAUAUAUAUAUAUAUAUAGAGAGAGAGAGAGAGAGAGAGAGAGAGAGAGAGAGAGAGAGAGAGAGAGAGCGCUAGGCUACUAUACUAUCGGUAGCACGGAGCGCUCCGUGCUACCAAGUUGUUUUCGAUGAUGCGGCUUCCAAAUCGACGAUCGGCUCCGUUAGAGUUGAUCUACACUAUUGAAAGUAUUUAUAAACUAAAUUUCAUAAUUUUUUGAUAUCAUUUACCUAUCAAACAAGUAGUCUAAAAUUGAACGGCUGAAAAUAAAAAUCUCAUAAAAAAUGAUGACAAAAGAUUUAAAUUCAAGAUCAGAUAUACUGAUCUUACUCUAAAUAGUGAAAAAAAUUUUCUAUAAAAUUUUCAUCGCAUUUGAAUUGUUUUACACCGUUAAACUCACAAACACACCACAUUGGCCAUUAAAAUUAUCAAUUUUGAGAUCUUUUGAUCACUAGUCAAAUGAUGUCGAAAAAAUUUAAAAUUUAGUUUCCAAAUACUUUCAAUAGUGUAGAUCAAGUCUAACAGAGCCGAUCGUCGAUUUGGAAGCCGCAUCAUCGAAAACAACUCGGUAGCACGGAGCGCUCCGUGCUACCGAUAGCAUAGUAGCCGGACUCUAUAGAGCUAGGCUACUAUACUAUCGGUAGCACGGAGAGCUAUAAUAUUAUUGAUAGAAAAAGAUUCUUUUUAUUAUUAAAUUUUUAGCUUUUGGAUUAAUUCUUUUUAUCAUUUCUAACCAUUGGAUUAAAUAUUAUAAUCCAAUGGGGACUACUCAACUCUAGAGGGACCACUCAAUCCUAAAAUUAAAAACUUAAUAGAAAAAAAAGCCUUUUGCUAUCUAUAACAGAAGAUCCCCCGUCCACAUUAAAUACCUGCAUACAACGUUGUUGGCCAGGGACAUGAGCUUGAGGCUAAUGUUGACCGGCAUUUGCUGAGCCGCCACACCAGCGAUGUCCUUCAAAAACUCUCACGACCACGAGGUCUAUCUGUAUUGAGUAUGAAUGAUUUAUUAAAACAUUAAUAUUAUUUCUAUCUACUUAGAACUUUUAGAACCAGCUUGGUUCGAAUUAUAAGCGGGGAUAACGAAAAUUGUCUCUACUAUCCGUCAAACGGAAUGAUCUUUUACCGGGAUAUUUUAUCUCGGUCAAGUCUUGCUAUUUUCGGUUAUUUCGAAAUAGCUUAAAAUUUACUAUUCCAUCGCUUUAGUAGAAUAGUGCUAUUCUAAUAUUUCAUUUCAAACUUAAUUAAAAUUAUAAAUUGAAUUAAAAAUAAAUUAUAUAAAUAAAAUAUGUUAUAUAUUAUAAUACAUUAUUUUUAUUAUAAAAUUAUUAAUUGUAUUAUAUUAAUACAUAUUAUUUAUAUUUAAAUAUUAUAAUAAAUUUUAUAAUAAAUUAUUUUUUAAAAUUUAAGUUUAAGUGGAAUUUUAAAACCGUGUAGAUCUCUCUAGCAUCUCAAGAUUUUGGAUAAUAAUGAUUGUUUGGGAACCUGGCCGACGCGGACCAGCAUAAGCGGGCCGUAGGUACGGGCCAGUGCGGCCAGCGCAUGAUGCGGCAGGUCGGUGGCCAGGUAGUGCAGGCUGCCGAUUAUAGGGAGGCGAGGGGGCCCCGGCGGGAGGUCCAACCAACUGGAAGAUCGCAUAACAAUUGUUAGAAGAGGGAGAAGUACAAUUCGGAGUAGAAGGAGAGAAGGGAGCUGGAGCUCCAUGUUAGAGAGAGAGAGAGAGAGAAAACAAAGUGUGUGGGCUUAAGGUUCACUAACACAAGGGUGCAUACCGAUUCGACGAUCGGCUCCGUUAGGUAUAAUCUACCCUAUUGGAACUAUUUAGAAACCAAAUUUUAUAAUUUUUUGGCAUCAUUUACUAAGCGAUCAAUAGGUCCCAAAAAUGACUAUUUUAACGGCCGAUACGGCACGUUUUUAAGUUCAACGGUGUAGAAGUAUCCAAAUUACAUGAAAAUUUAAUAGAAAAUUCUACUUAACGUCAAUAGCAAGAUCAAUACUUCCGAUUUGAAAUUUGAGUCCUUUAUCAUUAUUUUUUAUGAAAUUUUUAUUUUCAGCCGUUCAUUUUUAGGCUACUCGUUCACUAGGCAAACGAAGUCAAAAAAUUAUGAAAUUUGGUUUCUAGAUAUUACAAGUACGGAGCCCCCGGUAUUUUUGAAAGCAUAGGAGCCUCUCUCUCUCUCUCUCUCUCUCUCUCUCUCUCUCGCUCUCUAUAUAUAUAUAUAUAUAUAUAUAGAGUCCGGCUACUAUCCUAUUAAUAGGAUUGGGACCGUUGUCCAAUCAAGUCGUUUUGAAUGAUCGACACUCCAAAUUGAUAAUCGGCACCGUUGAAAUUGAUCUACACUAUAAAAAAUAUUUAGAAACCAAAUUUUGUAAUAUUUAAAAAUCAUUACCAAGUUCAUCUUAAGAGUUAAAAAAUGAACGGCUGUAAAUGAAUAAUCUUCUUAAAAUAGAGGUUAGAUUUUUUCAAUUCAUAAUCAGAGUUAUCAAAUAUUAUCUAAAUAGUAUAAAGAAUUUUCUAUCAAAAAUCAAGCAAUUUGGAUUGCUCUAUACCGUUAAACAAGCAAACGACUUAUAUAGGCCGUCAAAAAUUGUCGAUUUUAUGACACUUUGAUCACCAUGUAAAUAAUUUUUAAAAUUUAUGAAAUUUAGUUUCUAGAUAUUUCAAAUACUCUAGAUCAACUUCAACGGCUUCGAUCAUCGAUUCGGAAUCUCUAUCAUCACAAAUAAUUUGAUAGGACAAGUGCUACUAUCUUAUUAAUAGGAUAGUAGCCCUAGCCUCUAUAUAUAUAUAUAUAGAGUCCGGCUACUAUACUAUCGAUAGUACCAAGCCGUUGGUACUAUUGAGUUUUCUACCGUUAGAUCUGCCUUUUGAUCAUUUUCACCCGUUAGAUUAUACUAUUAAACCAACCACUCACUCAACCCUAGGGGAUCACUAUCAAUUUAACUGGGAACCACUAUCAUCAUAACCGUACAUCUUUUCAUCCAACGGUCGAAAAUUCAAUAGUACCAAAGACUUGAUACUAUUGAUAGUAUAGUAGCAUAAUUCUAUAUAUAUAUAUAUAUAUAUGCACAUGCAUGCGGGUGCAAACUCUUUUCCGAGACGUGUGAGAGCUAACAAGGACGAGAAAUGUUGCUUUCAAUAGGGGAAAAAGAGUUGUAAUUUCUAGAUUAAAAUAUAUAGAUGCAUCCAAAAUUUUAAUCUGUCUUGAAAUUGAUUGUCUAAUUUUUUUUUGUUAUUUCAGUCUUUUUUUUUUUUUAAGAGAGAGAUAGAUAGCAUGCUACCCGCUUCGUUUAUUUUAUUUAGAAAUAAACUUAGCUAGAAAUGUGAAUCAACUAGGUUUCGAACUUGGGUCUCGGGUACCAACCAUCAAGCCCUUUGCCACUUGCUUUAGGGACGGUCGAUUUUUUAUUUGAGUCUUACUAGUACGUGGUUUAAUUUAGCUUAUUUUAUUAGCAAUUUUAGUGAUUCUUUUAGAAUCAAAAUAAACGCCUAUCAAAAAUUCACGUGACAAAAUUUAAUUUAGGAAAAGAAAGAAAGCACACAUGUUAAAAAAAAAAAUUUGUGGCGAAAUGGAAAAAGGGUGGGGGUUUCCCUUUCGCCACCCAUCUAAAAAAAAUUAUUAUCUUUACAUUUUAUUUUUAGUAGUUGAAAAGAAUUAAACCAAACAAAAAUAUCUUAUUGAAAUUAAGUAAAUCGAGCCGAAAUGACCAAAUUAUUUUUGGUUGAUUCAGUUCAUAUGAUUUUAAUUUGAUCCGAUUCGGUUAAAGAAAAAAAAGAAAUACCAGUCCAAUCAAACCAACUUACGGUCAUCCUAGGAAUAAGACUAAUGAGAGAAUUUGUAUACACGCAGCUUUAUUGUCAAAGUGCGUGCGUUGGGAAUGCGAGGAAAUUCACUAGAAAAUUUGUGGCGUCUUAAUAAUGAAUUGAACAUAGCCUGACUCUCGUUAAGUAUAGGAUUGAAAAAUUUAGUUCGUAUUAUGCUUAUUUAUUAACGAGUCGAAUAUGAACUGGCUUACGAACAGUAUGUUAGAUUAUCAAUCAGGCUUCUGGCUGAAAAAUUGAAAGAAAAUUAGAAAAAUAGAAUCUUAAUGUAAUAAUUAAUUUAUAAAAUAUAGAGCUUUUUACAUUUAGGUUGGUCUAUUAUCCAAAUAGUAAAAAUAUUCACUAUUAAUAUAAACAUCAAUAACUCAAAUCUAUCUAUUUUUAGAAUAUCAUUCAAUUUUAACCGUUCAUUUUAUACUCGCUUGAUAAACUUUAUUAUAAUUUUGAAAAGUCAUGAAACUUAUUUUAUAGAAGUUUUGCAUGCUUAAAAUCAUAUUUAAUGGUGUGGAUAUCGUCAAUUCGGAAGCUCCAUCACCAAAAAUAAUUUAUGAGUACAAAUAGCUCUAUACUUAUAAGAGUAUUGUAUUCCUAUUAUAUAUAUAUAUAUAUAUAUAGAGCUAGGCUACUAUACUAUCGGUAGCACGGAGCGCUCCGUGCUACUAAGUUGUUUUCGGUAAUGUGGCUUCCAAAUCAACGAUCUGCUCCGUUAGACUUGAUCCACACUAUUAAAAGUAUUUAGAAACUAAAUUUUAUAAUUUUUCGAUACCAUUUACCUAUCAAACAAGUAGUCUAAAAUUGAACGGCUGAAAAUAAAAAUCUCAUAAAAAAUGAUGAUAAAAGAUUUAAAUUCAAGAUCAGAUAUACUGAUCUUACUCUAAAUAGUGAAAAGAAUUUUCUAUAAAUUUUUCAUCAGAUUUGGAUUAUUUUACACCAUUAAACUCUCAAACACACCACAUCGGCCUUUAAAAUUAUCAAUUUUGAGAUCUUUUGAUCAGUAGUCAAAUGAUGUCGAAAAAAUCUGAAAUUUAGUUUCCAAAUACUUUCAAUAGUACAGAUCAAGUCUAACUGAGCCGAUCGUCGAUUUGGAAGCCGCAUCAUUGAAAACAACUUGGUAGUACGGAGUGCUCCGUGCUACUGAUGUAUAGUAGCCGAACUCUAUAUAUAUAUAUAUAUAUAUAUAUAUAUAGAGAGAGAGAGAGAGAGAGAGAGAGAGAGAGAGAGAGAGAGAGAGAGAGUCCAGCUAUGGUGCUUGUAAAAGUACCAAGCAUUUGAUGCUUGUAAAUUUUUUACCAUUAGAUUUACGCCUUUAAUUAUUUUCACCCGUUAGAUUAUACUAUUCAACCAAUCACUCAAUCAACCGUAGGGAGUCCGGCUAUGGUGCUUGUAAAAUUACCAAGCAUUUGGUGCUUGUAAAUUUUUUACUGUUAAAUUUACGCCUUUAAUUAUUUUCACCCGUUAGAUUAUACUAUUCAACUAACCAUUCAAUCAACCGUAGGGGGCCCACAUCAUCCUAACCGCACAUUCCUUAAUCCAAGGGCAGAAAANNNNNNNNNNNNNNNNNNNNNNNNNNNNNNNNNNNNNNNNNNNNNNNNNNNNNNNNNNNNNNNNNNNNNNNNNNNNNNNNNNNNNNNNNNNNNNNNNNNNGUGCAAAGAAUAUUAACAUGAAUAUUCCGUUUCUAAUCUGGCGGAGGAUGGCAAAAGAUAUCAAAACUUCUGGACAAAAUGAAAGGCUGCCAUUUCCUUUGAUAAUCAUGCGGAUUCUGCGACUUCGUGAAGUGGAUGUUCGUUGUACAUCAUAUGAGCACAGUUUGGGUCGGAUCAAUGAAAGGACAUUUGUGAAGUCCUCGGUGCAGUUACGUACCCCAUCUCAACGUGCUUCUUCCCCUCCUGCUGCUCCGCCUCCUGCUACUGCUACUUCUUCACGUCCUUCUAUGGACAUUUCUGAGGAAGAUAUCUCCGUUUCAUCUGUGUAUCGUGAGCAACAACGUUUAUCUGAGGAGCUUCAGAAAUUGUCUGCGGAGCAAGCUGCGAUUCGGAAGGAUGUAAGCAAGAUGAAGCGCUUAUUGAAUAUGAUUUUUGACAAGUUAGGCUGUUGCCGAGCGGAUUUACCUCCAGGGGAUGCUUCCGAUUAGGAGUUACCGGGUUCCUUCUUUUGUCAUUUUAGCGCUUUCUGACAUAAAGGGGGAGAUGGAGAUGGUGGUUCUUGAUGUUGAUGAUGCAAUGAUGAUGCACUUAGCUUAGUUAUUUUAGUUUUGAUGAUGAUGCAUGCAGCAUUUUGUUUAGGUGAACUUUAGAUGAACUUUGUUUAGUUAGUGCUUUAGGUGUUUGAUUAUGAACUAUGACUUGAUACUUUGUUUGAUCUUGAUACUUGAAUCUUGAUUAUGUUUUGAGAAUGUUUUUGCAGGAAUAAUUCAAGACUUCAAGACUCCAUGUCUAAGUCAUAGAGUUUGUAUUAAGAUUAUGAAAAUUGUAAUUUUCGUUUAUUGGAUCGAUCAUGCAGGAGAUUAUCGUUUGGUGAUUGCGAUGAUCUUCUUUUUAUUGUUUCUGUGUUGUGUACGAGUUUAUAGUUUAUUUUGUCACGAAAUCGCCAAAGGGGGAGAUUGUUAAGGAUUUUAUAGGUUGGCGAAUUUCGUAAAGUUGUUUGGAGUCUUGAAGAGUUGAUCGCAGAAGUUUUUGAGAAGAGAUUCAAAUUGGAGGACGAAGACUCAUUCGGAAAGAUCGACACCUAAGGUAUGAAGAAAAGAUCAUUUGUGGUGAAGAUACAUAAUUAGAAUAAGUUCAGAAGGCUUAGAUUGCUUUAAAACAACUUUUCUGAACUUUCAUGUGUUCUGGGACCGGUCCCUGAGAUGGAGAGACCGGUUCCCCUAAGGUCCUCACUGCGUAAACCAUGAUGCAACCGGUCCCCUGUGAUGAGAGACCGGUUCCCGAACCAUGGUGCUUCUGUCGCGCAGCGAGGGACCGGUCUCAAGUUUGAGAGACCGGUUCCCGAACGUUGGGUUUUUGGUCACGCAGAGAGGGACCGGUUCCUCACUUGAGAGACCGGUCUCUCACAGACCGGUCUCCUCGAGAGGACCGGUCUCUGAGGACGACACAGGUUUUUGAAAACGACUUUUUGCAAUCCUAGUCUACUUCUAAGUCUUCUAAACAUAUAAAUAAGCUAUGUGGGUCAUCUAAAAUUAAGGCUUUGAAUAUUUUACCAAUUCUAAACCCUAGAAACUUAUUUCUCCCCGUUUCAAUGCUUAGAUUUACAUGAUGAGUUUCUAGCAAUCAACAUCGGCUUGAUUCUUCGUUUUUACUCGAUACUUCUUACGAGAAUCAAGUAGAUGAUUGAUUAAAGGUGAACCCUCAUAGCUUAUGGUUUUCAAAAGUUAAAUCACCACAAAUCUUCAAUUCUACAAGCUCCGGAAGGAGGUUCGGCGCGUGGAUCUCGCGUGAAGCCGAGGAUUCGGUGGACGCUUCGAGGAGUUGAGGCGUUGACGCUGCGAGGAGUUGCAGCAAGGUCGAUUGGUGGAUUCUUAUCGAUCGAGGACCGGCUAAGAUCAUCAACUACGGGAAAUUGGUAAAUUGAGUCGUGUGUUUUGGUCAAAAUCACUUGUACUCAUGUUUUCUUAGUGGAUUUUUUUUGCGUGAUUGGUCCCGUGGGUUUUUCACUCCGAUUUGGAGUUUUCCCACGUUAAAUUCUCAGUGUGCUCUUUUAUUUUCCGCUAUUUUGUUUUAUUUGCAUCGAGAUUUUCGAGUUUGCCGUUUUUACACCUAUUCACCCCUCUCUAGGUGUUACUUACCUUUUAGAUCCUCGGGAUCCAUAUCUUUCAUUAUGUAAUGCUUUGUUUGGUGCUUGUUGCAUAUUUUUAAUCAUUGCAUUACAUGUUUAGACGAUUUUUGGUGUUUUGGUUUUUAUUCGGUUAAAAAUUAUUUCUUUGAGGAAAGGUAUUUGGGAAUUUCAAAAUCUUUGAGAGAGGAGAUGAUUGAGAAUCAUUAUUUUGAGGAGAGAAAUUUUUCAAAGAUUGUUUAAACGAGUUUUAUCUUCACAAUCAUAUUAAGUUAAAUUCAUAUUAAUUAUCGUUUUUACUUCACUUUUUAUUAUUUUGACGAUAAUUUAAUAUACGAUUUCUUAAUGCAUAUAUUCAUCAAAAUUUUGGAAUCAAAUUUGAUCUCUUGGUGAUUAAUUUAUCUCGGUUGUGUGUGUUGAAUAUGAUAGAUGGAUAUUCGCUAAUAGACUAAAAUUUGUCAAAAUAUUUUCAAAUUGUGAGAUUGUCUAAUUUAGGGCGAGUUUGAAAUUAUUUUUUUAAAAAAAAAGAAAGGAAAAAUUUCUAUGUGUUAAAAGAUGUGAAAAAAGUUACAUCCAAAAGGAGUGUGAAAACUACCACCACAUGUAGGAAAGAGCUGUCAUCCCGAUCGUUCGGCAAGUGUAUGAAGCUACCACAUGAAGAUUAAAUUAAUUAACCGAAAAAGGUUGAAAAUUUUUUUGAAUAUUUUAGAAUUUUCGGAGUUAUAAGGUGGUAAGUUGAAAAGAUGCUCAAAGAGCCACCCCCGGUGCCAUAUUUGUUAAAUCUCUAUUUUGAACAUAUUGCGAUAAAUUAGUGUCAUUUUUGUUGAAUUUCUAAAAAUCAUUUUUCAACUCACAUCUUGAUGAUUUUGAAACUUGAAAUCAUUUUUGAUAAUGAAAUUUUGAUGUUUUGAUGUAUUUUGAAAUCUUAUAAUAUUUUACCUUCAUUAUAAUGAUUUUUAGAGUUAAAUCCUUAAUUUGUAUGAAAUUAAUUUAAAUGUGAUGGAUUUUUAAAGUAUAAUUUUUGAAUUUUUUUUUUCACAUUUUGGUCCUUGUACCGGUACAAGAACCCGUGUACCGGUACAAGGUCUGUACCCGAGCGGCUUAUAACCGGGUAUAGCGCUUCAUUUUGCUUCAAAUCGAAACCAAAUCACGAUUUCUCUUGUCCUGAGAGCUCCUGGGAUCCUCCUCCUCUAAAUCUACUACUUUCCCCCUUGGAUUUGUAAGUUGUUUGCUCGGAUUUGUGGAUCAAACCUCGUUUUUCUUUUCAAAAAAUUUCCAGUUCAUGCUUUGAUCUCUGUUUUUUAAUCGUUUUUUAUGCAAUUUUUUGCUGUAGAUCAGUGCUUAAGGACAUUAUCUUGCUUCUAGAACACUUAGAUCAGGUUAUAAUGCUAUAUUUUUCGCUGAUCUAUGAUCCUUAUGUCAUAAUACAUGGAAUUUUGGGAUUUUGGUGCAAUAUCAAUUUUUUGAUGAAAUUUUUUGCAUGAAUGAGUUGGAAAUAGCGUUAGUAUGCAUUCUAAGAUUAUCAGAUAUUUUUUCGCUAUUUUUACAGAUUUUUUCAAAAUUUUCUUCAUAAAUGGCUCAUUUUUUAUUUAGAAAAUGGCGUUUUCGCUCGUGAUCCUACUUUUGGUGCUUAUGGCCGCCGGUCGUGGUCGUGGUGGUGGUCGAGGAUGACGUGGAACCUCAAAGAGAGCCCAUGCUGCUGCAGGAGAGUCCGGUUCAGAUCCGGAGUAUCAAGCAAGCUCACAGGAAGAAACAGAAGAAGCAGCGACUCGAGCUGCUAAAGGAAAGGGUGUUAUGGGCGAAUCAUCUCAUGGCGGUGGUUCUCGUACGCGUGAGGGACGUACAAAACGAGCCGCGGAUGUCCCUCCAGUACGACCAAGGUUAUCUAUGUCGAAGUCGUGCAUAGCUGAACGCUUCGUGAACUUCAAUGACUUCAUUCGGGAUGUUCCUGAUUUUGGACGACUGCUACAGCGUGCACCUAUUGAGCCAGUUGGACGGGUCCCUGCCAAGUCUCCCUUCUGUGUGGAACUCAUUCGGGAGUUCUAUAUGAAUGGAAAGGUACUUGCUGAAGACGAGGAGACAGGCACUUUUCUUUUCGAGACUGUUGUGCGUAUGAAGAAAGUCCCAGUUACCCCCUAUACUAUUGGAGAGAUCUUGCGAAUGCAUGUGGACACUACAGGCCUUCUCUAUACAGCAGGAGGAUUUCAAUCGUCAACUCACAUGGAUAUCAUUCUUGGAGCUAUAUGCAAGGCCGGUGUUCAUAUGACUCAUGGUUAUAUAGAAUCCAAGGAUUUAUUACAUGAGUAUCACUUGCUUUCCUUGGUCAUGAGCUACAAUGUUCAACCAACCAUCGGCACGAAGAGGAUCCGUUGGGACAGAUUAGUAUUGCUAUAUCUUCUUGGUCAUCCCGAGCAGGCUCAUGGGUUGAACAUCAAUAUCCCGUUUCUGAUCUGGCAAAGGAUGAUACACGUAAUUAGGGUGCCACUUGACGGGAUCUACUUCCAUUCCCUGUUCUGAUUACAAGGAUUCUACAAGCUAAUGGAGUAGAUACAUCAUGUGACAAGUAUGAUGUUGGCCUUGGGCCUAUUGAUUCAGUGACUUGGGCUAAGUCUGUUAGCACUCUCAAGUCAUCCCAUCAGACUAAGGGGCCACCUCCUGAAGCAUCUAGCCCAGUACCUCCACCGAGAGCAGCUUCUAGCUCUGCUCUUCCGCCUCCAUCCCGAGGGAGUUAUGAUACUUCAUCUAGUUCGGGGGGAGCGACGACGUUGGAAUCAGUUAAGGAGGAUUUGCAAAAAUUAAAGAAGAAGGUGAACAAUAUUGGAAGAAAAGUUGAGUCAAGCAUCAAGAAAUUUGAAUUAAGUAUCAAAAGGAUUAUGGAUAAGAUGGGGUGUCGACAUGAUGAUAUUUGGGAGCCUACUCCAUCUUAUGGCAUGUAUCAGUAGUCAUCUUCCCAACAUCCACUCAUUCCUCCUGCGACAGGUGUGUCAGGCGCUGGAGCAUCUGGAUCUGGUGCUGGCGCAGAGGAUGAUGACGACGAGGACACAGAGUGAUGUUUUCUAGAGCUUCAUGUUUUAUCUUAGGUUUAUGUUUUCAUGUUUAGUUUACACUUCUACGUGUAUUUGUUGCUUUCUCUCUUAGGCAUGUAUCUAUAUUUUAACUUUGAUGUUUCUUUCUAGUGGAUUUUCUCUUUUUAUGCUUUUUGGCAAUUUUCUGACAAAAAGGGGGAGAUCACAAGAUAAACAGGACACGAACAAAGGGGGAGAAGUGGUGAACAAAGGUAGAAAAAAAAAAAGAAGAAGAAAGAAGCAAUUGAACAAAGGAGGAGAAUGGAUUUCAAGACUUCAAUACUCCUAGUUGCGUCUAAGUUAUAGAGUCUGUUUUAGGAGUUUUGAAUGUAUUUUGAGUUUUAAUUUGUAUUUGGAUUACACGCGAGAGGUUCAUUAUUUUGGUGAUGACAAUUGAACUUCGUUUUUCUUUUAAAUGUAAUGUUUGUGUUUUGAGUGUGUUUUGUCACGAAAUUGCCAAAGGGGGAGAUUGUUAGGUCCUAUGUGUUGGCAAGUUUCGUAGGUCGAGUCGGAGUCUUGAAGAAGUCUGGAGCAGAGUAUUGAAGAUCGAAGAAUCCAAGACUUCGAAGAAUCGGAAAGGACACAAAACACGCAAACACGCAAAACUUGAAUCACGAUGCUUAGGUAAGCGUUAAAUCUUGUUUAUGGUGAUUCAUACUUAAUUAUAGAUCUUAGAAUCAUAUUUUCAAGUUGUAAUUGAUUAGAAAGUUUCUAAGAGCUUGUAAAACUCGAACAAUGCAUUUUCAACGAAAAUUGCAUUGUUGUACCGGUACAAGGGUGUUGCUGUUCCGGUACAGACAUCGGCUAUUGCCGCUGAGUUUUUCGAUGGUUGUUCGGGUACAACCAUCAUGGCUGUACCGGUACAAGCCCUGUUCCGGAACAAGCUGAAGUCUGUUCAGGGUACAGAAGCUUCGCAGAAAAAUCUUCCGUCAUGCUAUACCCUCGACAGCUUCCCUUGUACCGGUACAAGGUGCUGAAUAUGGAAAGAAACUUUCUAAUCCUACUCCGGUUUGAUUCUAAAAUCUAUAAAUAAGCUACUGGGCUUCUCUAACAUAUCAAGCAUCACGAAAAUACAUAUUUAAGAAACCCUAGAGGCUCGGAUUUCAUCUAAAACCUAUUUUCUACAUACGGCCUCUUUUAAAUCAAAUCGAGAGAUUGGAUUUUCAUAUCAAUAUGUCGAUUUGAUCUCCGCUUCGCUUGGAGUUCUCUUUCCUGGUUUUCAUCGAUACUUUAAGCGAAGGAUCACCAUACACAUAAUGUUCUUCAUGAUGGCGUCGUGGAUUCGGCGUGUUUGACGGCGGUUCGUGGAUUCCGAUCGAGGGCUCGUGGAUUCGAGUGGCGUUCGUGGAUUCGGACGUGAGUAAGGCGUUCGUGGAUUCAGACGUGAGGGCGUGGACAACCCGGAGGAUUGCGUGAGAUCCAUAGGAGGUUAAGAGAGGUUGAGUCCGUGGAGUCGGUAAUCACCUUGUAAUCUUUUCUCUUAGUGAAUUAUUUUUUCGCAUGUUGGCCCGUGGGUUUUUCUCCAAGUUGGAGUUUUCCCACAUAAAUCUCGGUGUGCUUUUUAUUUUCCGCAUUUAUUUUUAUUGCAUCGAGAUUUGUGGUUUUUGGCCGUUCACCUAUUCACCCCCAUCUAGGUGAUAGAUACAAUCUAGAUAGAUCCUUGGGCUCCUCAAAACUUUCAGGGAGCAGGUACCGGUACUCCAAUUUGAGUACCGGUACUCAGCUCUGCUAGGGGCUGACAUUGAAUGGUUGCAAAUAGCAAUUGUUGGAGGGUUAAAUUGAAUGGCCGUGACAGUUUGUGCCAUUAGUUAUUUUGCCUACAAAUUUGUAUUAGUUUUUUCUGUCUUGUAUUACGUCAGUGUUGAAUUAAUUUAAUUUUGCAGUGAAAGAAAUUUAUAUUUUGUAUCGUACUAUUAUUUUUAGUGAAAGAAAUUGUUUUCAUAUGUAGCUAAUAGUUUUGUAAAAAAAUUGGGUAAAGUAUUUGUAAUUUGAACUCAAGAAAAUUUUAAAUCGUAAAAUUUGGUAAUUUCAAAGUCACAAAAGAAUAUUAAAAAAUUAUAUUGGUAACAAAUUACGCAAAAAUUGCAAUCAUCUAAAUUUAAAUGCAAAAAUUAAAAGCUUUUAUUUACAUAGAUUCAUAUGAGGUGUAUUUUGGUCUUUUUAUCUCUAUAAUAAUCCACUAUCCUUCUUAUUCCACUUGCUCCAACCAAACACUAUUGUAACGUAUGAAAACGUCGAUAGCGAUUAUCGAACUUUAGCCAAAUUGGUUAAAGUGCCGAGAAAAAUGGAUGGAUAAGUCCCAUUUAGCAUUCCAACAAAGUUGGAAGGGCUAAAAAUAAGUUUAAGAGGUGUUAAAAGGGUUUUAGCAUCGACCGGCGUGAAAUAGAAUCGAAAACGGCGCAAAUACAGCAUUCUGGGCAAAGUGUACCGGUAUAAUCAGCAAGUUGUCACCGGUACAGCCUUGCAGCCCAAGGAGAGAUUGCUCUCGGGUUUGACUUUUCAUGGAAAUGUACCGCUACACCCCUGGUGUGUACCUGUACACUUUGGUAAAAUCCGAGCAGUUUGCUCUCGGGUUGCCUCUGUGCAGGAAAUAUACCGGUACAAAAUCCCGUGUACUGGUACACUUUGGUCUUGCAGCAACAAUGAAAUCUGCUGCAAAUAGAAGGAAGUGGAGGGUUUUAUUUGUAAUUGUUACAACAUGUUAAUACCCCAAGCACCCUUCCCUCUCUCUUUCACAGCCCACACCUCACGCCCUCUCAUUUCUCUCUUUUUCUCUCUAGAAAGCUCUCCAAGGAGCAAGGAGGAGUAGGAGGAGAAGGAUUUUUGGAGGAUUUUGGAGCUUAGAGAAGAUCUAGAACUCUCCUACAAGGUGGAUAUUGGUGAGCUUUGGACCAAGGUGAGGUUUUCAUAAAAACCUAGGCUAGGGUUUGUGUUUAUGUCCUAAAAAAAUUAGGUUUUGAUCUUCUAAUGAGUAUAGAAACCUAGUUGGAGCUAUAGAACACAUGAAACCCUAGUUUCUUCAAAGUGCUCUAAUGGGGGAUUUCUAGGGUUUACUUAAUAUACCCUAAAAAUGGUUUGGAUGGUUCUAAAUGAACUUCUAGAGGUUAGACAAGCUCUCUUUUGCUUGUUUUAGAGAUCAAAACCUAGGAUUUAAUAAAUGGCAAUAUUAGGGCACCCAAUUUGGGGCUUUUGCCUCCGAAUGUUUCUAAGUCAAAUUAGCCUUGUAGAAACCUAAUUAGGGGUAUUCCCGACGCGUAGGACAACUCCGUUUGACGUUACGAAAAAGUUUAGAUGAAGUUAUUGAGAAAAAGCCUAAUUUGGCUUCAUUUUGCAGCAGGUGAAAAAGUAGGGCUUCAAAAAUCCCACGAAAUUCACCGUAGCAUCCCUACAACCAUCUAAGGUGGGUGGUGCAAUCCGAGGACCUCGGAAUUCCUUUUAUGUCUAAAGUGUCAUAUUUGAGCAUAUGUGUAUUGAGCAUGAAAUUGCAUAGUAGGGUUAUAUGUGAGUAUUUCAUUGCAUGUUGUGAGUACAAAUGCAUGUGAAUUACUAGCAAAAUUGUGAGAAUUUAUAAUAAACCUUAUUUAUGCAUGACAAGUGAUAAGAAUCUAGUGGACUUAGUAAACAAUGUGACAUCUUGACAUAGAAGUAGAAAAUGACAUUGAUGAGUCGAGAAUGCUAGAGUUGGAACACUUAGAAAAACAAGUGUGGCAUGUGUACAAGAAUAUAGUAGUGUAUAUGACACUAGUGAAAAAGGUGUGAUAGCGACAUUAUGACAAUUUCAACCUUAGAGUUAAGGGUCAUAUAUGCAUUGUUUCCUUAUAGUUAAGGAAUGGAUUGAACUUGACAUCCUUAUAGUUAAGGAUUGGAUCAUACUCACCUGUAAGUUCUUGCUCGAGGGUGGUAGCUCCCUCUCGGGCGAUGUGCUCCGGAAUUAUCAUCACUCGGUGUGGUAGUCUCCCCAGAGGACGGUCCCGUCGGGUGCAUGUAGUAGUCUCCCCAAUUUUUGGGAUUUGUGUUGGUGAGUCUAUUAUGGGCGAAACCUACGAGCUAGCCUAGAGAUUGCGUUCUGAGCAGUGGCCUUGCAUUCAUCAUGAGUACUUUAUUGAGCAUAGCAUUAUUUAUUAUUCAGGCAUAUUAGCUGCAUUUGCUUUAGCUUGGUUACUAUCUAUCUAUUCUUCUAUUAUGCCUGAUUUAGAUCUAGUGGGAAAGUCAACGCGUCGGUUACCGAACCCACUGAAAACUUUGUUGUAGUUCUCACCCCACUAUUUCCACAGAGCCAAGACCGAGCUAGCCGGUGGACAACUGCGGUAAGGGCAUCGCGCCCUAGAUAGAGACCUCCCGAGUGGGUUUCCAUUUUGGUUUAGUUGCAUACCUUUGUACAUCAUCUUUUGUAUUUUGAUGACUAUAGAUGUUAAAAGAAAAAGACCAUGAAUGUUGUUAAAGAUUUUAUAUUUAAAUGUAAGAACUAUAUUUUGAGAUCAUAUGAUGUAAAAGAGAAAAAAUGACGCAAAAAUAUAAAUGAUUUUCUAAGUGUAGUUUACUACUUUCACUAUUGGCUAUUGCUUGCCCUCGUGCAAGCCAUUGUGUAUACUUCCGCUUAUGCAAUUUUUAUACUCUAUCUGUACCUGUUGUUGAGCCUUAGGCGGACAGGGAAGGCUCUGUCCGUUCGGUGUCUGUUCGACUCUCUCAAACCGGCCAAAAGGAUAGGGCUCGGGGCGUGACAACUAUUUUGUUUAUAUCUGGACUAAACCCAAUUCUCAACCAAGCACAAAAUUACUUAACUCCACCCUAACCCUGACCUUAAUCCUAUCUCUAAAAUAACUAGUUCUUACUUAACUCCGAACGAAACGAAGCCUGAAGGUUUUUAGUUUUGAAAUGACAAGAGAAGUAAAAAUAGAAAGAGGGGGGUUGGAUGGGGAGCUAUAGGAUUACAAUCACGGCACUCCUCAAACUUUUAACUAAGUAAAACGCGAAUAGAAAAACUAAAAUUUAAAGUAGUCUUAAUGUUAAGAAAUUAAAGUUAAAGGCAUCUAUUUCAAAAUAAUUUAUAGGUGAGGUUUUUCUUUUUUUUCUGGGGGGUGGGGUGGGGGCGAUACUGCGGACACCGGCACCUUUUGGAUUGUGCACUAGACAUUUCUUGCUUUUAUGGUGUUUUCUUGAUUUCACUCUCUAAAGAGUCUUUCAUUUGCAAUCAUCUAGUCUAGAGCAAAAUAUUUGGCAUAUUGAAUGGCUUAGACUUUCUACUGUAGAUCGUGAGUUGCAUUUUUUUUCUCCCCCUAAUAAUAUCCUUCAAAUAACUCCAACAAAUUCUAACAAAUUCUUCCAAGUUUUAAUUAAGAUCAUGACAACAACUUUCUCUCAAUUUAUUAGAAAUCAUGCUUCACCAAACCAAGUGCUUGCUUGACUUGUGUUCCGUAGCACAAGCUUUAGCACUCGAGCGAAUUUGUUUCCAGCAAUUUAUAAAGUUUUGCUCUUGUGAGGAGGUAAAUUAAGUAAGCUUUUAGACAAAGCUUUUGUUUUUCCUUGGAGCAAAAAUACAGGAAACUAAAAUCGUAUCAAUCAUUUUCCAACGGCUCUUUACAAUGUCUCAAACAUCUUCUUCCAAAAUUCCAGCUCAUAAAUUAGGAAAAAAAAAAUAUUAAUUCAACAAGACUCGAAAGAGAAAAUUCAACAAAGUGUGAAAAAAAAACUAUUACUUUUAGAGCAACCCAGCUUGCUCCACAUUCCUAUAAGUAAGAACUUAACAGUAGCACCAAACGAUCACACAGAAACUUAAAGCAAGAACAGAGAGAGAGAGAGAGAGAGAGAGAGAGAGUGAGUGAAAAAAAGAAAAAAAAAAACAAGAAAUGGAGCUCCGCUUCCUUUCGCUCGAUCCCGUGAUACUCGUCUCCUCUCUCCUGUGCCUCUCCGCGUACGCGCUCCUCGUCCUCGUCGCCAGGUCCAGGAGCAACUGCGGGGCACGAAUCUCGAAGCUGCCGCCGGGCCCGCGCGCGCUCCCGCUGAUCGGGACGAUGCACCACGUGGCGCGCGCGGCGCGGCGUGCGCCGGGGGGCGGGACCCAGCGGGCGCUGCGGGAGCUGGCGCGGGUCCACGGGCCCCUGAUGGGCCUGCGCAUGGGCCAGCUGGACCUGGUGGUGGCCUCGUCGCGCGAGGCCGCGGAGGCGAUCCUCCGGACGCACGACCGCAACUUCGCGUUCCGGCCGCCGCUGCUGGUGGGCCAGAUCCUGGCCUACGGCUGCAGCGACAUGGUGUUCGCCCCCUACGACGCCUACUACAAGCAGCUGCGCCGCAUCUGCCUCACGGAGCUGCUCGGCCCGAAGCGCGUCCGGGCCUUCGCGAGCAUCAGAAGGGACGAGGUGGCCAAGCUGGUCGAGGACAUUACUGCCGCUGCCGCUGCCGCGGCGGGGCCGAAGCCGUCGGCGGUGAAUUUGAGCCGCAGGCUGACCACGAUGACGAACGCCGUGAUCUCACGGGCGGCGUUCGGGCAGCAGAACGCGCAGCACCACCGCUUCCUGGAUGUAGCCAAGGCCGCUGUGGAGACCGCGGCGGGCUUCAGCAUCGCCGACGCCUUCCCCUCCUUCAAGUUCCUCGACGUCAUCUUCGGCCUCCGCGCCAGGUGCAUGCCCCCACACACCCACACAUCGAUCCCUGCCACCCUGUGCAGCAGAGCUUGUGUGCGAUAAUAAUUAAGAUAUCACAUUGAUGCCACGCAGCUAGCUAAAUUGAAUUCUAAAUAAAUCUAAAAAAUUGGCGUUUAAGUGAGCUGUAUUGAAACGACAUGCAGUAUGUGAUCCUGAAAUUCUAAUGAAGUACCAUGCGAGACAACAAUGUUUCUUGAAAAAGUAAUCAACACCAAAUUCGAAGUAUAUAUAUAUAUGCUCCAAUAUUACUGUAGAAGUACAGUAAGUAUUUUAGUAUUUCAUAUCCAAUGCCUGCAGGUUACUGAAAGUACGUAAGGAACUUGACGAAAUCUUCGAUGAGAUAAUCGAACAACAUCAGCAAAAGAAGUCGAAUGCCGGCCGCGACGGUGAGGACGAGGAGGACUUGAUAGACCUACUCCUCAGGCUUAAGGAUCAUGGCGACCUCGAAAUCCCUAUUUCAAUUGAUAACAUAAAGGCCGUGAUUCUGGUUAGUAUACUAUGGCACUAUCAGAAUUGUCAAUAGGUUUGGAUAUUAAAGUUUUAUCGACAUUUGAACUCAUGAUGUAGUUUCCAUCAAAGUUAACUAAUUGGAGAUGCAUACAUAACCCUGGCAGUGAGAGAUUGAAAGAUACCAAAUUUUUCUAUACGUUACUGAACUUUAAGUAAAAAAUGAACUUUAAUUUAUCUCAAUUAAGAUAGUGAACUUCAAUUUCUAUCUUUAUUCAGUCACGUCCUUAAGUUCUAUCUAAAUUUUCAAAUAAAACGAUAAAACAAUGUUGAAUUUAGUUGUCAUUUCAUUUUCUAGAGACGACAAUCACUACUAAUUUAUCUGAAAUGAUCUGUUAUAACUGAAAAGUAAAAUAUAUCAUAUGUUUCAGCAAUUUGAAAUAACUCGCAAUCGUUGCGGAAUUAUAUUUUAGUAGCAGCUAAAUUAGCUGACAAAUUAAUUAUUACUCUGUCAGAAAAAAAACAUUCCGAGUUUGAGAAGUAAUCCAAUUAAACUAAAAAGUUCAAUGAUAACUUUUCCAAAAUUAAAACUCUUCUGUUUCAAAUAGUUAAAAUGCAAUAUAUAUCUCUUAUUAAACUUUAAUAAUUAAAUAACCUUUUUUUUUGUGAUCUAUGUACCGCAUUUUAACUGGUCCAGCUGGAGCGGUAGUUAGACUCGGUCAACCAAUAUUUUCUCCUCAAUAAUGGUAGAAGAGAAUUUUGUUGUGAAAGUGCUAUCUCUUUUUCUUAUUUGUCUUUUUUUUUUUGCAGUAAAUUAUAUCUAAACUUUAGGCAAAAUUUUAUUUUAAAAUAUCAAAUUAUGAACAUAGAAUUAAAUUUGGAACGUUUGCAUCCAAUUUACCCACGCAGCCUUUGAAAGUUACAAUUUUAACCUUCCACGUUUUAACUCGUUUGAUUUGUGCUCUCUUAAGAACUCUGAUAAAUUAUUGGAUACAUUCGGUGCAUCAGCAUAUUCAUGCACCAUACUUUCGUUUGUUUGUUCAUCAUGUCCGAUAGUUCCAUCUUUGUUGCCAAAAGAUUUCUAAGUAGCACCCUACUUAAAAUGAAAUAAAUGAUUAGAUUAAAAGUAUGACAUUUAUGAAAAUCUUAUUAAGCUACAAAUCAAAGAAUUUCAAAGAAUAGAUGGUAAAAUAUAUAUAAAUGGCGCAAACUUGGUGUAAAAUUUUAUAUUAUUUAUUUUUAGGCUAAAUUAUAGAAAAUAUUUCUGUAAAUAUCCGUUUUUUCGCUUUUUUUCCCUAACUUUUGAAAAUCUAUAUUUUACCUCCCCAACAUUAAUUUUAUGUUAUUUCACCCCCCUCCUGCAAGAUUCCAUCACUAAUCCAUCCAUUUCUUAUAAUUUAUAUCAAAAAAAAAAUUCUUAUAAAAAAUUGUAAGAAUAAUUUAAUCAUUUUGCUUUCUCUAUUAACGUCGUCUUUCUGAAAAUAUUUUUAAAAUUUUAAGUGCACAAAAUAUAAAUUUUUUAAAAGUCAAAAAGAAAAAAAAUAAAAAAAUAAAUAUUUUUUGCAUGAAAGUUUUGUGUAAUUUAGCUACAUUUUUAUUGUUCUUCCUUUAAAAAAAAAAAAAAACUAGGAUCUAUUUCUUGCGGGGACGGACACGUCGUCAGCGCUGCUCCAAUGGGCCAUGUCGGAGCUGAUCAGAAACCCCGACGCGAUGGCAAAGGCGCAAAAGGAGGUCAGGGAAGCACUGAAAGGAACGGACGGCAUUGUCGAAGAAGCCCAAGUAAACGAGCUCAACUAUCUCAGAAUGGUGGUGAAAGAAGCCCUACGACUGCACCCUGCAGUGCCGCUGCUCAUCCCUAGAGUGUGCCAGUCGACGUGCCAGGUGGAGGGAUACGAGAUCUCGCCGGGGACGCGCGCCGUCGUCAACGUGUGGGCCAUCGGGCGGGACCCCAAGUACUGGACGGAGCCGGACCGGUUCAUGCCGGAGCGGUUCGCGGAGCCCGGCGCAGCCGACUACAAGGGGACCAGCUUCGAGCUGCUGCCGUUCGGGUCGGGGCGGCGGAUGUGCCCUGGGAUGGUGUUUGCACUCGCCGGCGUGUUCGUGUCCCUCGCAGAGCUGCUCCGUCGGUUCGAUUGGCGGAUGCCGGACGGGAUGACGCCUGAGGAGCUCAGCAUGGAGGAGACCAGCCUCGCGCCAGCGGAGCGCACUACAAAAAAAAUAGAUUUUAGAAGCGGUCGAAACCGCUGGUAAAAGUCUAUAGAACCGCUGGAAAAAUGUUUCCCGACAUUUGUAAAACCGUCGGAAAAAAUUUUAUAACCGCUGUUAGAUCUCUGUCGCUAAAAACCUUUGCCGACAGUUUAUACAACCGUUGGAGAAGAUAAUAAUUUUAGUAACGCUUUUCCGACCGCUACUAAAUAUAGUAAAAAACGCUAGUAUAAAUUAAUAAAUUUAUACCAUCGGUUUCAUAAUUGUUGUGAAUUCAAUCCAAACUACAAAUUAUACAAUUAAAAGAAAACUAGACAAGAUUUUAAGACUCUUUAAAAUGAGAUAUAUGAACAAAUUCAUCAUCCAAACAAAUUUAAAUUUGAUUACAUACGACAAUUGUCAAACAAGAGAAGUCAAAUCAUUUAAUCAAAUAGGAGUUUGUAGAGUAAAAACAGAACUGUCAAUCAAAACUUUUAUUCAAAGAAGUUUUCAAUCUAAAAGAAAUAAAAUCCAUAUGAAAUCAAAGUUUUCUACGAGUUCUUCAACUUAUUUUAUGAAUUCACUCCGCAUGAAACACCAAUCCUUCCUCUUUUUUGAAAAUUCCUGCAAAAAAAAAAAAUCAAGUUAGUGAAACAAAAAAAUGAAAAGGUCUUAAAGAUUAUGAGAUGAACCUCAAUAUAUCAAUAUAUGUGGGUUCUACUAGAACAACGAAAUGAAACUAGAAAGCUCCAAGAGACAAGGUUUUGGAAGCAAAACGGAAGUAUAUAUAAAAGUAAAAAUUCUAGCGCUAUGUUUAAUAAAUCUCUAGGAAAAGAAGGUGAAAGUCGAAAUCCAACCUCGUAGGCAAGAAAAUACAAGCUGAAUUUCAUUUCAGGGAAAUCCAGUCGCUUCAAUAACCUGGUUUUUCAUGCAAGAAAAAUUAUAAGCCUAACGCCCAAAAUUAGGUGAACAAGAAGAACUCCAACAAUAGAACUUGCAAUGGCUUCUUCUAUGUUUAAGAACUUAACAUAAGAAGUGUAGAUAUGAAAUAGAAGCUCUACAUUGUUGACACUUUUUGUCAGCUUCUUGGCACCAGUUUAAUUAAACAAAACAUUUUUGCAUCGUCAUGACCUCCAGCAAAGCAAAUAAAAGGGACAUUAAUUGAAAUUAAUUAAUCAAAAUAGGUUUUCUCUGGGCAUGGAGUUAUGCUUGUCAGGUCAAAAUGAUCCUAUUCAGGUAGCUUGAAUUAUGGAUAUCGCAAUAUACAUUCUGGGUACAUACUCUAGACACGUGCCAGUGUUUAUCAUCAGCCAAUCAUUGAUUUAUUUCUAAAAUUGUAAAGACUGUACCACAGAUCAAUAAGUAAUGAAGAAAAGAAUAUCUGAAUGGAACUUACUUCAUCCCCAACACACGAGAGUAGAAAUCAAGACUCACUUUAGGAUCUUUAACUCGAAACAUCUGCAAACCAUUAAAAAAACCAAAAAUUCAGAUUUGCUUUGUCAACAGAAGAUUACCCUCAAAAACCUAACUGCCUAACUCAAUGGGAAAAUAUAAGAAAAUAAAGGGAAAAGUACACCAUCAGUCACUAAAUUUACAGUGAAAUCUCACUUGCGUCACCAAACUUAAAUUUGGUUCAAUUGAGCUACUAUAACAUGGCUACCAGUUCACCUCUUGGCGAUGAUGUAAUCACUAAUUCAGCUGCCAACACACCUCUUGGAGACGGCGUGACAGUUGAAAAAUAAUUAGUCAAAAAAUGUCGCAACUUGAUUAACUACGAUCAUUGCCGCAUCAACUUUUGCUAGCUGAAUCAGCCGUCACAUCAUUCCUUAGAAAAAAUGAUUCAAAUGUAUGUAAACCUCCUUAUCUGUAGGCCAAUUUCAAUUAGACUCCUUUAACUACUUUUCUUUUGAUUGAAACUCCCUCAACUUCUAACUGUUUCAAUUUUAGUUACUUUCUUAAAUCGAAUCAUCCCACUUAGUUAAUAACCUCUCAAUCAUCCCACUCGGCAAUAAAGGCUCUUCAAAUAGAUAGAGAGAAACAAUUUUCAAAUUACAGCUGUAAAACAAGAAACCCAUCCAUCAACUAAUGUAGAAGCAAGGGUCCAAUAUCACUAGAACAACAAUGGCAAAAAAGGUACAUAGAAAUAAAGAGGGAACAUGAAGCAUCAAGAAGUUUAAAAAAGAGCUUAUCACAUAUACUACAAAACAUCACAGGUAGAAGCACCCACAGCCCACGUGACUAAUAGUGAUGUCUCUUGAUGUUCUAGUGUCCACCAUUUUGAGUUUAGGUAACACCCAAUAAAUCCACUAGCAUGGUGCUUAAAAGAGAUAACACAAUAAAGAUAUUAAACUAGACUAAAAUCUAGAGAUUCUAUACACACAUAAAAAGGGAACUAUACAAUUAACUCCUUAACAUAACAAAAUACAAAAACACCCAUCAAACUUAAAAUAACAUAACUAUAGACAAACUAUGCGAAAGAAGAUAUGAAAAUAUAUGUAUUGUGGAAACUUUAUAACGAAUUAGUUACCUUACAAUUAAAUUCCACUUUCUCUUUGAGUGUCACAAUCAGCUCUACCAUCAACAUCUUGAACCUACAAUAUGAAAAGCAUUAUCACAUAGAUAAGAAACAAUCUAAAAAAACAUAACAUACAAUAAUUAUUUUAAAAUUUAGAACUAAAUGCUUAAGGAUUGAAAUGGAUUCAUGACCUUUGAAGAUUGAGCAUCCGACUGCUUUGAAAAAAGCAUAUCUACUUUGGCCUCUAUAGAAGCUAAUCUCUCCUUAAGGUCAUAUAUUUCUCUAUCUUUAUCUCUUAAAAUUUCUUCCAUUGAAAUGAUCUUUAAUUGAUGAGAAUUGUUUGACGAUACGUCACUUAGCAUAGAGGGUGUUGGACCAAAUCCCACACCACGAACACGACCAUGGCGAUCUUGGCCAAUCACUUUAGAAUAUGCAUCAUCAGCCGCCCACAUUGAGCUACCUCCUGAGCUGCCUUGAGUGACAUCCGAUUCUUUUUGCAUUAAUUUCUUCAACUUCUUCUGAAAUUUGGAAAAAAAGAAAAAUAUGUGUAUAUUAAAAUAUACAAUGAAGAAAGUAAAUAUAAGUAACAAUAUAAAUUCUCGAACUAUACAAUAUUUUUUUUGGCGCGCUUUGUAACAGGCUCUCCAUUUUUUUGUUGAUGAAGCGCAAUAUAAAGCUUUCCCCUACUUGGAACUUCUCCAUGCUUCUCCUACUCAUAAAAUAUUUUAUUAAAGAGGACAUAAAGUUAAAAGGCAGCAUGCAAGAAACUGAAAAACCUCCUACUUACCAUCUCAAAUGCAUACUGUGCUAUUGAUUUUGAACCACCAGUAUGAAAGUCCUUUUUUUUAUCUCUAUUUUCUUUAUUUUUUCUACUACGUUCCUGCAAGCAUAUUGCCCCAAUUUUAGCAAAUAGGUUCCAUCUCUAAAGAAAAUAAAAAAAAUGUAUAAGGCAAGAAAUUGCAAAUUCAGUACAUUGAUAGAGCCAAUUACUUUUCCAAACAAUAUAAAUAGUGCAAUAUAGUUUUGUAGAACAAGAUAUACCUUCGCUUCAUCAGAACGCCAAUAAUCAACUAAUCUAGCAAAUUGGGCAUGAUUAACAGAUGGUGGUGCCCUAGCUAAAAUCUCCUUCCUUUUUCGUGAUUCAUCAUAAUAUUUCGCUUUCAACUCGCACUUGUAAUUUCUCCAAAGAUCGCCAAGCUUCUUUAUUGUGUUAUGCCGAAUCUUUUCUCUUGUUGUUGGAUCUCUCGGGAAUUCAAACUUUGACUAUACCCAAAAGUUCUUCACAUUAGAUAAUAAAUUUGUGCCAAAAUUAUAACAAACAACAAGAUAAAUAAUUGAAUUCAACUACCUCAAGAACUUCCCAACAAGAAUUUUUGUACUUAACAUCCAUCUUACGCCAACUCAAGUAAUCAAUUGGAGCUAGAUUUGGCUUCCUGACUACAGUACCCAUAAAUCUAUGAAGAAUGCUGCCUUCUUUAUCAAUGGGCUGAAAAUAGUUAUUAUAUUUCAACAUAAUCCGUUGAUUAGAAGGCAAAUUCCAAAUGUCAGACAUACGAGUGACCCCUCGUUUUCCACGUGCAGAUGACCCACCUAUUUGAUUAACAAAAGAAACAUACAAACAACACGAGUUUUUAGCAAUUCUUUUUCUAAAAGUAAAUAAGCAAUUCUUUCUUUACUUCUCUAUAAUACAAGUAUUUAGCAAAAUAUAGUUACUAUAAGUAUUAUGAUAUUGUUGAAGCUAUGCAGGAAAUAAAGUGAAAAAUAGAUGUUAACUUUAGAUAUGAAGAAUUAAAAUAGCCAUUUGAAGCAGCAAACAAAUCAAUUAAUAAAAUUCAAAUAGGAAUCUAAGGCUAGUCAAAGUUGAAAUAUAAACACUUUUUUAAGUUUCAAAUGAUGCAUUUAAACACUAAUUAUCAACUAUAUAAACUAAAUCAAACUAUAUAUAGAUGUUAAAAAUCAAUGAUAAGGAAAGAAUUUAAGGUAUACCAGUGAUACAAAUUUCCACUUCAUUAGAAUCUACUUGGUCGACAUCAUCAUCCAUUUCAUGCGUCUCGGCAUCUGGUUGGUGCGGAAGUGAAAAUUCUCGAGUCUGUUUAGGGCAUUGUGUCGGUAUCUCCACAUCACCCUCUACAGAGCAAAGCUUGAGACGUUUCUUUGCCAUUCCUGCACAUAAUGUUACGCAUAUCAUUAAUAAUAGGAAACAACAAAAAAAAAUUAGUAAUGACAUUAGAAAUUACAACUUUUAUAACAAUGACAUUUCUAUAUUUAAUUUGCUUAUGAUAUUGAAACAAAAUGCCAGAAAAUAUACAAUACAAUUUUGCUUUCUCUACUUGCUAGAGCAACUACUUGUUGAGUCAUCAUCAAACUAGGAGCUAUCUGUGUACUUGUCCUCCUGUAUUAAGUUUUCAGAAGCAAGCGUCUUGUUGACUGUAGUUCCAUCUACAUCAUUUCUAACCCAACUAAGAUAGUCAUUUGUAUCGCUUAAUAAACUUGCAAGAUCUAUAUUAUAUGGCUCACUAUCAUAGUAUGUGUUGUCGUCAGCUUCACCAAUUCCAGCACUACCAAUAUCAAACACAUCUCUAGGUUUUGUCUUAACAACAGUGAGCCAAUCUGUGCCCUUUCCACCAAAUUGCAAUUUACCGAGACAAACACUCCCCCAGUGAAAAGAAGGGGUUGGGAAUUUCUAUUUAAAUGCAUUUAGAAAAUUGCAAUAAUAGCAUGGAGCCAACAAAUUACAGAAUCAUAUACAGCACCAGGCAGGGAUUAGAGUUAGCAGAUAAUAGAAUAUGUACAAUUAUUUGGUAUUGAACAUCCUACAGAAUGAGCAAAUAAUCCAGCAAACAUGAGAUUAAGGGCCACUCAACACAUUUCAGAAUCAAAGAAAUAGCACAACCACAUAAAGAUCAAGAACAUACAAAUGAGUCAAGCUGACAACUAGGAAGAAGCAAUGAUAUACGCAGUUUACUAACCAACAGAAAUACAACAACCUAUCUGAAGAAUGGAUAUAGCUCUAGGAAAGGAAACUCCCCUAUGCCAAAUUGGUCAAAAGGUGGAAUUGCAUUUAGAAUUAGCUAUGGAUAAUCCACUACUUUGUGGAUUAUCCUAUAUUAGAAAAUUAAUCAAAAGAUUCAAAACCCAGAAUAACUUUACCAAAAAUACAACAACCAAAGAACAAAAACAAAAAAAACAAAAGGUUAACUUAACAAAACCUAUCAAAUUACAAACCUAAAUUAGAGCAUUAAUCACAACUCCACAAAUUCACAAAAUACAACCCAAAUCUCAACUAAUCAACCAAAUUCAUACUAGUAGAAGAAACAAGAGAAAUCCAGUCAAAACUUACUACAUCUCACCCAAAUAAAUAAAUAAAUAAAACAUUAAACCUAGAAAAACCUAAAUUAGAACAUCAAUCAAAUCCCAGUAUAUCUUUACCACCAAAAAAGCACCGACGAAAUUCAAAUCUGAACCCAAAAUAAUAAUCAGAAAUUCAUACCAGGAGGAGUCGAAGCCGAUCUAUCGCGCACCACAAAGAGAGCUCACCUACGAGAGAUCAGAGUCGGAGAGCGAGAUCAGAGUCGGAGAGGGAGAUUGGUGUCCGAGAGGGAGAGAGAGUGUUGAGGGAGAGAGAGGGGGUCUGAUCGUGAAGAGAAGGGGGCGUGGUGGGGGGAGGGGGUUUGCGCGGCGGAGUGGGGUGUGCGUGAGGUGGGGAGGGGUCUUUUUCUUUUUUGUUUUUGGGGCAGGGUUUUAGUUGGAUGAAACAUUUCGUUUGGGUUGAGUUUUAGUUUGAAUCAAAAAUUUUUUGUUUGAGUUUUAGUUUGAAUCAAAUAUUUAAAAAAAAAUAAUGCUAAAUCUACAAUCAGAAAGUGGUCGUAAUUUUAUAAGUUCACUAUAAUUUUAUAACUUUUUUUAUUUUAAUACCAGAAUCCAUAUAUUACAUAUUUGUACCUUUAAAAAAUAAAAAAAAUAAUAAAAAAAUUAAAAAAAUUCUCAAUCAUUAUAUUACUUUAUACCGGCGGUUUAUAACUGUUAUAAUAAUUAGUUAAAACCGCUGCUAAAAUAUUUUUGCGAGCGCUUAUGUUAAGUGUUAUUAAAUUAACUGUCGUCCUAAAUCAAGUUUUUUGUAGUGGCGGAAGGUCGACCUCGUCUUGGUCGCCACCCCUUGCAGGGAUCCGUAGGAAACUAUUUAAGUACAAUAAUAAUGACAUGCAUAAGCAUCCNGUUUAUGGAUUUUAGUUAGUACGUACUUGUAGUUAUGUUAUGUUAUCUAUUUAGAAUAAAGUUAUUCGGUUUACGUAUGCGUAAUAUAUAACGAGUUAGAAUGAUAGAAUAAAAGAAGCUCUUUAAAACCUCUGCAUGGUUUCAACCAUUCCUAGAGCAAGUGGCAAAGGGCUUGGUGGUUGGUACCCGAGAUCUUAAGUUCGAAUCCUAAUUAAUUCACAUUUCCAGCUAAAUUUAUUUUCUAAAUGAAAUAAACGAAGCGGGUAGCGUGUUACCUAUCUCUUUCUCUCAAAAAAAAAAAAAUCAUCAAAAAGUUUAAUUAGUGUGAAAUAUGAGUUGCAACACAGUAGUAAAGAAACUUCAUCUAAAAGGAAAAAAGAAAAAUAAUCCUUUUCUUCAACAUUGCCUAGUUUACAAAACCAUAAGGUAAAGAAUAAUUUGGAAGAAAGCAAGAAAAAAAAUACAAAAAAAAAACUUAAUUAGCUAUAGUGUAAAAGAAAUUAAACAUAUUAUGAGGACUGAGAUUUUGGCAGUGUAGCUAAACUCUCUGUUGAUAUUAUUUUUGUGUGUAAUUUAAUUAUAUAAGCACUCAUCAAGUUUCGAGAGAAAAUAAGUUAGGAUGGAGAAGUUACGCGACCUGUACUAAUCACUUAAAGUGAAUAGUAGUAACUCCGGUUUUCCGAAGAAGCCAAUGAGUGGAGAUGGCUUCUGAUGCAUAUUUGACUCUGUUCAUAGUGAUCCAAUAGCUCGUUUUCAAUGGUUCGACUGGCCUGAACCCAAUGGCACUGACAGAUUUGGAUUUUGACGCACGAUUUUCGAGAAAAAGGGAUUUUAUUAGAUUUACACAUUUAUAUAUGUGUGUGGUUUUUGGUAAUUGAAGAGUGGAUGAGUUUCGUUGCAAAUCGGCGAUCAUAUCGGGCGAAAUGAAAUUGCGAGUUUGAUACCCUGGUCAUGCUGAAUGCGCUGGCGCAGUCCGUUCGUAAAUAUGACGGACGGAUCUUCCAAAAAUUCAUAAUGUUUGCUAAAGGGUCGAUUUUGGCAAAACAGAAAAUCCGCAAAACACCUUAUAUUUUACGUACCGUUUUGAGUGAUUUCGAGCAAGGAGGUACAUCUGUGCGAUUUACUCAUGCCGUGAAGGACUCAGUAUGAAAUUCUGAGUCUUCGGGGACUUUUGCGCAAAAUUGCAAUUGGUAUAUAUGUUGCGAUCUAGGGUUUUCUUAGCCUAACCCUAGACCUUUAGCUCCCUCAGCUGACCUCCCCAGCCGCCAAGCACCUUCCCCUACCCUCGCCGCACGCGCCCCGGCCGUCGGCGCGCGCCUCCGGCCGCCGGAAUGGGCUACAUUGCUUCUCCUCCACCAACUUGCCACCAUCCCUGCCGUGGACCACACGGAAGGAUCCCCAUACCUGGGCUUCCUCCCUUGGCCUUGCUCGACCUCCGGCAGCCUCGACCGCCGGUCACCGCCGCCCCCGCGCGCUGGCAUUGCCAGUCUGGGCAGCUUGCGGCCAGCCUACGCAGGCACUGGCCGAGACCAGGGCAGUUGCUGGCCUGCGCGUCGCUGCUGCUUUGUGCCGGCCGCCCCGCCUCCCUCCGGCCUACGGCGAACCCUCGCCGUUGCCCCGGAGCUCCCCCGGCCGUCGUUACCUCGUGAGCCCGAGGCCAAGUGUACAUGUGCGACCUCGGCCUCUCCCAACGCCGCUGCGCCUCCUACCGCCGCCGGCCGGCGUGAGCCCCGAUCCUCCUCGGUCGGCCGCACCCGGUUGCCGCCGGCGCUCCUGCCCCCGGAUGCCCCUGUCGGCCGAGCUGGAGCCAGGCUCUCCAUCAACUGUGCGGCUAGGGCAUCGUUGCCCGUCGCCGCCGCCGCCUUUCGUCGCCGGCCGACGCGCACCCCAGCCUUUUUCCGUCGGCUGCACCUGCUUGCCGACGUCGCGCCCGUCGCCCGGCCGUUGCUGGCCAGCCAUAGCUUCACCUUGCCAGUUCAAAAGGAGAGAGAUAGAGAAGCUCAAGUCGGCAAAGAACUUCCAACUUCUUCAAAUCAAGCAAAGCUGAUAAGAAUAGAGUAUAAUGUGCUCUCUCAUUUACGAAAAGUCCCAAGACUUCUGAGUGUUUACGACGCCCUUAGAACUCAGCGAAGUGUUGAUCUAUGCUCUCCAAAAUCCUGAGCUCUUUCAUGCAUUCUUCGCCGAGACAAGUAUGAAGGAGGCGCUAUACCUCGUUCACUCGGCCAAUAUCACUUUUACAGAAAAGGAUUUAUUAAUAGGGACAACGCAUCAUUAUCGACCGUUAUAUAUGACCGGCACAAGUGACGGAGAAAGGAUGAACCACAUUUUAAUUGACCCUGGAUCUUCUGUGAACUUAAUGACGUUAAAAACUCUAAAGAGUCUGGCAAUGGAUGUCGGCUAUUUAAACUUAGAAAAAGUCGCAAUUCAAGGGUUCAACCAACACAGUCAAAAAGCCCUCGGGUCUAUUACCCUUCCGAUAAGGUUUGGGAAGUUGCAAACUUAGGCAAAAUUUUAUGUUAUCAAUGAAAAUACUUAAUAAGUUAUUGUUAGGAAGGCCUUGGUUGCAUAAAUAUCACGUAGUUCCGUCUACCCUUCAUCAGUGCUUGAAAUAUAUAAAAGAUGGUGAGAAAUAUAGAAUUGGUUGUGAUAUUCGACUAUUUGGAGUUCACGAAAUUCGAUAUGAAGAUGCAAGAUAUUUUAUAGAAUCAGAAGAUACAGAAGAAAAUCGUACCCUAUCGAGAGAACAAUCCUCUAAAAAGAAGAAACUUGUAGACGAAAUUAAGAGGGAGUCAACAGUGCCACAUUUCAAAAGUGACCCGGAUAGCUCCGAUCUCGAUGAAGAUGAGUUAUGUUGGGCUAUGAAGCUUCUUUCAAGCAAUUUGAAUACCCUUGAAGUCAAAAGCUCGUGAGAAGAUGAACAUCACUUUACAGCUUAUGUCAGGACUGAUAGAAUGAUUGCAAAAGCCUCUAACCUGGUGGAAGAUACAUUGGCAAUUCUCAAGGUUCCAGAAAAAUGCUACAAACUCAUUUCUGCAAAACGGGUUUCUUUUGUGGAUCAUUUAAAAACUUUUUUGUCCCGCUAAAGAUAGAAAAUAUUGAAGGAAUGAGAAUAGUAAAAAGAGGAAUCCUUUUUUAUAAAUCAGACGAUCAAAAAUCCACUGAUGUCAUCAAACCGGAGGAUUAUGAUAAUGAUAUAUACGAGGAUAUAGAAAUUCCAAAUUAUUUCUCAGCUAGCUUGAAAAAGAUGAUACACAAGUUAGGUUGCCCCACAAGGAGGUCUUGGGCCAACCACAAAGUCCUUUAACGAAUAUGGAAUCCACCUCAAAGAAGAUCCGUACUCCCAAAUGGCAAAUCUAGCAAUACAAGAGGCCUAGGAUGUUACAAAAGUUCCACUUACCAAGAUAUCUAUACCUGUAAUAUGAUCAAUGCAAAUGAGGAUAUUGCUGAACAUUUGGUCGAUGAACAAAAAUCUCUUGAACCAAAAGAUGCAUCUCAAGAGCUUGAAGAUGGGGGAUAAGCAACUGUAGACGAACUUCUCGAGAUAAAUCUGGGGACAGAAGAAGACCCCAGACCCACUUAUAUAACUGCACUAGUUCCAGAAGAAGAACAAGAGAAGCUAAAGGCAUUGCUAACAGAAUUUAAAGAUUGCUUUGCGUGGAGUUAUAAAGAAAUGCCAGACCUUAAUCCAGAGGUGGCUGUUCACAAGCUAGCUAUAGAUUCUCAAGCUCAUCCAGUCAAACAAGCACCUAGGAGGAUGAGGGUGGAUCUAGAAGAGCAAAUAAUUGUGGAAACCAAAAAGCUCAUUGAGGCAGGCUUUAUAAGGGAGGAGAAAUAUGCUAACUAGACUGCUAGCAUUGUUCCGGUCAAGAAGAAGAAUGGCCAAAUUCGUAUAUGCGUCGAUUUUCGGGACUUAAAUAAAGCUUGCCCAAAAGAUGACUUUCCAUUACCAAUAACGGAACCAAUGAUUGACAAUAUCUCAAGUUGCGAGCUAUUCUUGUUUAUGGAUGGCUCAUCAAGAUAUAAUCAAAUCAAGAAGGCGCCGGAGGACGAGAAGCAUACUGCAUUCAAAACUCCUAUUGGGAUAUAUUGUUAUAAAGUCAUGCCUUUCGGCCUCAAGAAUGCCAAAGCUACAUAUCAGCGGGCAAUGACUAGAAUAUUUGAUGAUCUACUCCACAAGACAGUGGUGCUAUGUCGAUGAUUUGGUUGUGAAAACAUAGAACAAAGAAAAUCACUUCCAAGAUCUAACCACUGUCUUCACCCGAUUGAGAGAGUAUCAGUUAAAAAUGAACCCGCUCAAAUAUGCAUUCGGAGUCUUUUCUGGUAAAUUUUUAGGGUUCAUUGUAAGGCAUAGCGGAGUAGAAAUCGAUCCUUCAAAAAUUAAAGCUAUUAUGGAGAUGCCUCCUCCAAAGGAUUUAAAACAACUUCGAUCCUUUAAGGAAAGAUUAGCAUAUAUCAAGAGAUUUAUUUCAAAUCUCUUGGUAGGGUCAAACCUUUCUCCAAACUAGUAAAGAAGGAUGCACUAUUUGUCCGGGACAUAAAAUGCCAAACAGCUUUCAAAGGCAUAAAAGGAUACUUAAUGAAUCCACCAGUACUCGCAGCCCCGAUACACGACAAACCCUUGAUAUUAUACACUGCAGCUCAAGAUGGGUCAUUGGGACCACUUUUGGCGCAAAAUAAUGAAGAAGGAAAAGAACAAGCUCCAUACUAUCUCAGUAGGAUGUUUGUGGGGGCAGAAAAUUCAUACUCACCAAUAGAAAAGCAUUGCUUAGCUCUUAUAUUUGCUGUCAAGAAGCUGAGGUAUUAUAUGCUCGAGCACAAAAUUUACUUAGUAUCAAAAGUCGAUCCGCUCAAAUUUUUAAUGACAAAACCCGUCUUGACUGGAAGGCUAGCAAAAUGGACAAUUAUCCUUCUAGAAUUUGACAUCACCUACAUACCACAAAAGGCUGUCAAGGAGCAAGCACUCGCUGAUUUUUUAGCAGCACACCCAGUACCUGACGGUUCAUCUUUGGUGUGCGAUCUACCAGAUAAAGAGGUAUUACUUGUUGAUGUUGAACAACCAUACUGGGAUAUGUAUUUCGAUGGAGCAUCUUUUAUUGAACCUGCAUAUAGCCCGGGUAUUCCGCAAGUAAGGGCGGGUGUCGGUCUAAUUUUUGUGACGCCAGAAAGAGGAAUCUUGUGGUACUCUCUAGCGCUUUCUGAUCCUCGUACAAAUAAUGAAGCUGAAUAUGAAGCCUUAAUUGCGGGACUAGAAAUAGCCAUCUUUAUGAAUAUACAACGGCUACACAUCUAUGGGGACUCUUAGUUAAUCAUUAAUCAAGUGAUGGGCGAAUAUAAAGUCUACAAGCCGGAAUUGACCAAAUAUCAGAAAAGGGUGCAAGAACUCAUAAAGGAAAUACCAAAUGUCACGCUGGAAAGGGUCUCUCGAGCUGUAAAUGGGAAAGUUGAUGCCCUAGCUAGAUUGGCUAAGGAGCUAGCUUAUCCCAAUCUUGAUGAAGUCCAUGUUACUAUCAAGAAUAGAAAGAUCCUGUCACCUACGAACUUAAAUCUCGAAGAAGAAUCUAAAGAAAUCCAGAAGGCAAAUGCGCUAAAAAUUGAAGUGGAAGAUGAUUGGAGGGAGCCUUUCAUUAAUUAUUUUAAACACAACAAACUCCCUGAAGAAAAGCCAAAACAAGUUAAGUUGAAAAAGGGGGCGAUGCAGUAUGCUUUCGUGAAUGAUACCUUCUAUAGAAGGUCUUAUGAUCAGUUAUGGUUGAGAUGUAUAUCACCAGAAGAAAUAAAACAGGUUAUGCAUGGAGUUCAUUCGGGUGUAUGUGGUGCCCACCAAUCUGGUCCCAAGAUGCGCCUCAAGAUUAAACACUUGGGCUACUAUUGGCCCACAAUGGUUCAAGAUUGUAUGGAAUAUGCUAGGAAAUGCCACCAAUGCCAAGUCCAUAGCGAUUUUAUUCACCAACAUCCGAACCCUUUACACCCAACAAUUACCUCUUGGCUGUUUGAUCUGUGGGGAACAGAUGUUAUAGGGCCAAUUAAUCCUUCCUCAUCCUGAGGGUACAAAUUUAUUCUCGCAGCAAUAGACUACUUCUCUAGAUGGGCUGAGGCUAUUCCUUUGAGAGAAGUUAAAGCGGAUAAUGUCAUAAAAAUUUUUAGAGAAAAUAUUUUGAACCGUUUCGGAGUUCCUCGUCGAAUUAUCUCUGACAAUGGCUCAGCCUUCAAAAGCUUUAAAGUUAGCAGAUUUGCCUCCCACCAUAAAAUCGACUGGCGAUAUUCGUCAAUUUAUAAUCCAAGAGCUAAUGGUUUGGCCGAAACUUUCAAUAAGACCCUGGUUAAACUUUUAAAGAAAAUUAUUGGUAAAAAUAAGAGGAAAUGGCACGACAAGAUUUCAGAUGCGCUCUGGGCUUACCGAACAACUUUUAAGACCCCCACUCAAGCCACACCUUAUUCUUUGAUUUUCAAAACUGAAGCUGUCCUUCCUCUGGAAAUAGAGCUGCCAUCACUAAUGUCACGCCCCAAGACCGCCAAUUUGGUCGGUUCGGAUCCGUACACAGACGCCGAACGAACAGAACCUCCUCUGUUCGCUUAAGGCUCAACAACAACAACUAAACAUGUGUAAUGAAAUGCCCAGAAAAAAAUUCAAUAUACAUGGCUCACACGAAGGUAAGCAACACAAGAAAGUGAAAGUAAACUAACUAAAUCAUUCAUGCAUUGUAUCUUGAUUACUUUAAAUCAAAUACAAAUCUUGCAUAAUUAUUACAUUCAUUCUUCCAACAUAUACAUCUGCCAUCUAUCAAAUGAAUAAUUUACAUUUGCUUUCAUCAACUAUAAAUAGAUGAAAUGUAUAAGGUACAACUAUACUCAAUGGAUGUAUGCUAUCUAUAGAGCGCUGUCCAAGUCACGAUCCUCAACCACCCGCACUAGCUAGAACCUGCAUGGUUAGUGGGGUGAGAACUACUGAAAGUUCCCAGUAGGUUCGGUUGCCGACCUCGCCGUCUCCCCCACUAGGUUUACUCAGGCAUAUGUUGAAAAGAAAAAGAACAGAUAGUAACUAACUAUAUUAUGUAGCUACUACAAUGCCUGUACAAAGCUGAAAGAAACAAUAUAUAACAUGUGAAAUUUAUGCAUGCCUGCUAUCAUAUACUAUUACCCAAUCAAUCUGGUUAACCAUUUGGUUAACUAUAACUCACCAACUCAAUCCCUACUAUCGGGGAGACGUCUGCUACAACUCGACGGGACCGUUUACUGGGGAGCACAUACUUGCUUCCCACCCAGUUGAUGACCACUCCGAAGCUCAUCGCCCAAGGAGGAGCGACCUUACCUCGAGUAUUAGACUAAUAUGAGUAUGAUCCAAUCGUCAUUUUGAGGAUACAAUGACAAUGCCACACUUUAACUAGCUCUUUAUGCUAGGUUUACAUGUUCAACUCUGAUUGCUAAUCAAUUCAUCUAGUUCUAAUGCCACACAUUUUACAAGUUCAUUGUUCUUGUUUAACAUUCACAAUACUUGAUGCCACUCAUGCCGUCUAUUCAUAAUAUCACUUGUUAACUAUUGUCAUAGUCAAUCCUUGUUCAUACAACUAUAGGGUUCUAUGUUUACUAUCCACUGUUCACAAGUAUUUUGCUUCCAAAGCAUUCAAUUAGACCACAUGUCAUAUAUCAAACUCAACCCUAUAAUGCAUGAAUAUCACUAAACAUAUACAUUACAUGUAUGCUCAAGAAAGACGACAUAAACAUAAUAGGCCAUUUGAUGACUUCGGAAAGCACCACCCAUCUUUAAAUGAUGCCAAGAUGCGAGAAAACUACUUCCCGCGAUUUAUGAAUGAUCCAAACCUUCGCUCGCGACAAACGAAGCUAAAAUGAGAUUUUUUCCUAACUAGCUUGCCGUAAGCUCGUCGGAACGCCGAUCUGAGCUUUCCAACGCGUCGGUUUUAUCCCCAAUUAGGUUUCUACACGAUCAAUACCAAGCUAGGCCUUUAAUCCUACAAGAUUGCGUUUUUAAGCUUUAGCUUAAUAAAAACUGUUUCUUUAUAGGUUUUAUAAGAACCUAUAGAUUAAUCCAAAUCUUAAUAACCCAAGAACCUCAAAACUAAAUAGUUUAGAGGAUUUACAUCAAUUCCUAACCAAAAAUCUGCAGGAUACUUGCUUUACUCCCAGCUGCCAACCUUCAUACAUGAUAUACAUAGCUUUUCUAUAAUUUUCAUGGCAACUUCAAGCCUUAGCAGCCCAAUAAACCCAAACUAAAUCCUCUUUAGAGUAGUCACAAUAAUCCCUAACAAAGAGAUCUCACAAACUUACCUCAGGUUUCAGGUUUUAACAAGUUACUUCUCAGCUGCCAACAUCCACAUGUAGGCUAUCCAUAGUGCAAUUACCAGCUUUCUACAUAGCAAUUUAAACUCCUAUAUGUUGUGAGCCUAUGAUUUUCUCUAAGGUCUUUCAUGGCAAAUAGGCUCUAUAGCAAUUAGAAACUCUAGUAAUCAAGAAUUCCAUUGUUUCACUCUUUUUUAUAGCAUAAAUAACAUCACUCUAACCAGGAAUGCACCUCACCUAGCCUCAAAUUUCGGCUACCAACUGAAUUCACAUAGUUCUACUAGGUUUCUUCAUAGAAUAACAUGCUAAUGGCAAGUUCUAAUCUGUAAUAGACCCAAAACUCAACCCUUUAUAUAUAAAAUAGACAUCAUAAGCCUAACCAAAAACAGCAAGCCUACCUCAAAUCUCAGCUUCAACCGGUUGCUUUCCUACUCCUAAAGCUCCUUCUCAGUUCAAAACUGCACUUUCAUCAAGAGCUUUCUUCAAACCCAUCCAUCGUUGGUUUAGACAGAGAGGAAGAAAGAAGUGAGAAGAAAAGAAAAGAGAGAGAGGUGGAUACAUAUGGAAGCUAUUGGAGGGUUGCUGGUUUAGAGAUAAGACCAGACAAAUGCCAAAAAUCCCUCCACAAAACAGGAAUUAACUCUUCUACAAAGCAGGAAUUCUGUUUAUAAAAUAGUCCCUGCAGCUUUUACAAAACAGUCUCUGCAGUUUCUUUUUGCACUUGACGGCGGCAGUAGCAGCAGCACUCAGCAGUAGCAGCAGCAAUUGCUCCUACGCCCUCACACAAUGCUGAAAUUUUGUUUUUACAUAUUGGUCCCUGCAGUUUUUUUUUAGUGCAAAAUCUGCACUUAGUGGCAGCUGGCAGCAGCAACAGCACACUCCGAAAUCGUUUUCUCGCAUCCACUACGUUCCGAACAUCUUCAAAUACUUCUAACACAUGCCCUUAUCAAUCCCCACGCCACCAAUUUAGCUAGGAAAUACCAAUUUACAUUCUUACAUUACUUUGAUCACUUUGAUCAAAGUUAGCUUCAGCUUCGGAGAUUCGAUAUAUGGUAUUCUAAACACCUUCAAAAUCUACCAUUAACCAUCCUCACACUUCCAAAAUAAUUAGGGAAUGUCACAAAUUAUACAUAUGCCUCACUUUGACCCAUUCAAUCAAAAUUAGCAUCGCAAUCCAAAAACUCUCUUUCGAGUUCAUUUCGCAUCCAAUUUGCACCGAAACAAUCAAUUACUUCCCAAAAUCAUUCCCACACCUCCAGAAUUACUCGGGAAAGAUGCACGUCCAGUUCAAACUUCACUUUGAUCCCCUAGAUCAAAGUUAGCAUUGUAACCUGAAAAUUUUCGUAUAUUACAAUCUCCUCCCGUUAACAAGAGUUUCGUCUGUGAAACUUAAAUACAUCUAUAGGCUCCUCUAUUCCUACUAAUGAGAAUAGUUUUCCACAUUACUUUUUUAAGUUUCAAAGGGUUUUAUACUCAAUACGUGUACUCCACUGCAUUAAUCUGAAGGCAAAAUAGUAAUGUGGAACUACUAUAUGCAAAAUAGUGUAAUUCUACAAUCUCUCAUUACAUUAAUUUGAAGGCAUAUCAAGUACUCUAUCCAUUCUUACUUUAGGGUGAAUGCCUUAUGCACAAUUAUGUAACAAAUUUGAAACAUGAUACUUAUUGUGCAAUCUUUCAACAUCAGUUGCCAUAUUUUUUAUAUUUCACCUUACCUAUACCUGAUGACAACAUCCCAAAAUGUCGCUUUCCAUUCUAACUCAAUAAUUCGUUUGCACACAGAACGGCGUACUCCUGUUACCACAUUCCUUCUAGGUAAAUUUUUUUUACCUUUACUGAUCAUGACUACAACACUCUUGAUUCCAGAGUGAUCUUUUCACUUAUCCUGCCCUCAUGAAUAGGGACUAAUCCAACUCUCAUUUAGGUAACAUACCUCAAACUGGCACUUGUUUCACAUAAUCAACACUUGUGCAAACUGUUUAUCAUACCCGUGUCAUCGUCAACUAUCAUUAUUGCCCCAAUUAUUCCUUGGUGAAACACACUUUGGUUUCCGACCGGCAUCGCUACAUGCGAUAUCUGAGCACAUCAUUCAAUCGCGAGUGCUCAACCACCCACGAGUUUCCACUCCUCAAUGAGAUGAUUCAUUCUAGCACAUCCAUCAACUCUAAUGAUUUGAGGCAUAGUCCUCUAAGAUCUCACGUGGCUUUCACUACACAACAAUCUCAAAAGAAUACUUUAUUUUACCAGCCACGUUCCACGCUAUAUCGACUUCUCAUCAUAAAUCUCGAUGAACACUUUGAUCAUGUCUCUAAUCUCAACUCAUCAUCAGCGCUUAAUUCGGCGAUUCAAAAUAGAUGAACAGUAGUACCGAGCCUUCGCUCACAAUGUCACUACUCUCGAUCCAUUGGGAUAAUUUCAACAUCUUCACUUCCGAAACAAUUGGCUAAACCUUUUGCCUCGAUUACUACAAGUGGUCCAUAACCAUCGAUCCGACAUAGGCCUAUCACCUAACACGAUCACAAUAUCACUCAGCGUAUCUUGCUCGCAAGCGUAGACCCAAUCAUCACAAGGCAGAGUCCUCAUUUGAGACCUCACACACCUACUCCAACCAGGAGCAAUUCAAAUCCCGAAUCACUACAAAUCUUAGGGUUGGUCAAACUUACACUUUCGGUACAUCACUAAUCACUCGAUCAAAUACGUGGCACACCACGUCUCCAGAUCCAAGCUCGGACUACCAUCUUGACCGAAAUCUCUGCCCUAUCCACAAAUAUCGGGCCGCUGCCACACAAAGCUAACUGCGCGUAUCCAAAUGGCCCUAGGCCUCACAGCGCACGCAUGGCCCAGGCACAGAUCAUCCAUAAGCAAUAUCCAUAAUCGUCGUCACCCACAACAUGCUCACAAAGCAACCCACAUCUUUAUUGGCUCUUACGCAUCUAGUGCGAGCCACCAGCGCCACGAGUGAUCCAUGACACACUUCACACUUAGCAACGCUCAAGUGCUACUGCCAACACACUCUCGACUGAGUCACAAUCCACACUCUACGGACACCUACACUUAAGCGUCCUACACCAUCACAUUUUUCACUAAACAUCACACGCUAGGCAACUCAACCUAUGCCCACAAUACACAAACACAAAUUCCCUCAUCUAUUUGAGGUACAACCCGACUAACUCGCCAAAACCAAGCGAUCGUCUAACCAACUUACGCACUAAGGACGCUAUUACCACUACGCGAUCCAUCAGAAUAUCAUUCGAAUUCUCGAGCUUUAGAGCGUCUUUCAACGCUCUGACCUGACUUUCACUAUCACUUUUAAUACCUAAAAAGGUCAGUUCACCAGUUCCAUUUGCAUUCUGAGCCCUAACAUUGGCUCACUACAAACCACUCAUUGGCACCAUCCAACUACCUAUUCAAACAAUAGGCGGUACAUUUCUACCAUCUACAUAUGCUAGGGUAUUAUCCACCCAAACCUAAGUCUCUAUAACAUUCUUGCACGUACUACUCGGAGUUCACAUCAUCCUCAAGCACACAGCCUUCUCAUAGGAGUCAAUCUACAACCGUUCUCAUUCUGCUUUCUGUGCCACAAAGCCAGGAUGCCACAUUACCUGACUUCACAGCCUUUUGAAGCUCAUUGAUCCAAUCCGCAAAACACAAGACAGCCUCCUGCUAACAUUGCAUCACAAUAACUCACCGCCACAGCACUACCACGAGUGUGGUCAACCUAUCCUAGAGCUUCAAGUUUCCUCCAAGCUCGGUCAGUUCAGGGACUUCACCAAUCCCAAACCACAUCGACCUCCUUAGAGAUCGGCUACACAAUACCACUAAACACACAACAACUUAACUAAUUUUUGACCUUCAAGGUGAAACACGAAACGACUAUCGUCAAUCCAUACUCAAAUCAGGCGAAAGUCAUACAAGGGAGCCUAUUCUCAUCACUCAGUUUCAUGUUGUUGCGCACCAACAUGAACACACCCUGUUGAGAAUAAAUUACACCUUGGAUUCACCUCUAACAUCCUUUUUAGACGUAUACAACACACGACCCAAUCGGUUUAACCUUUCACCACAUAUCAAGAUUCUCAUCUCUUAUGAACCUAGAUCCUUAUGGUUUUCCAUCCUAAGGUCCCUAGGUCCAUCCUAUACUUUCACAUGCAUUGCUCUAAUACUAUUUAAUCUGUCACGCCCCGAGACCGCUAAUUUGGUCGGUUCGGGUCCACACACAGAUGCCGAACGAACAGAACCUCCGCUGUUCGCUUAAGGCUCAACAACAACAACUAACAUGUAUAAGAAAAUGCCCAGAAAAAAUUUCAAUACAUGGCUCACAUGAAGGUAAGCAACACAAGCAAGAGAAAGUAAACUAACUAAACCAUUCAUACAUUGUAUCUUGAUUACUUUAAAUCAAAUACAAAGCUUGCAUAAUUAUUACAUUCAUUCUUCCAAUAUAUACAUUUGCCAUCUCUCAAAUGAAUAAUUUACAUUUGAUUUCAUCAACUAUAAAUAGAUGAAAUAUACAAGCUACAACUAUACUCAAUGGAUGUCUGUUAUCUAUGGAGCGCUGUCCAAGUCACGAUCCUCAACCACCCGCACGAGCUAGAACCUGCAUGGUUAGUAGGGUGAGAAUUACUGAAAGUUUCCAGUGGAUUCGACUGCCGAACUCGCCGACUCACCCACUAAGUUUACUCAGGCAUAUGUAGGAAAGAAAAGGAACAGAUAGUAACCAACUAUAUCAUGUAGCUAAUACAAUGUCUGUACAAAGCUGAAAGGAACAAUAUAUAACAUGUGAAAUUGAUGCAUGCAUGCUAUCAUAUUCCAUUACCCAAUCAAUCUGGUCAAGCCUUAGCCGCUCAAUAAACCCAAACUAAAUCCUCUUUAGAGUAGUCACAAUAAUCACUAACAAAGAGAUCUCACAAACUUAUCUCAGGUUUCAGGUUUCAACAAGUUACUUCUCAGCUACCAAUAUCCACAUGUAGGCUGUCCAUAGUGCAAUUCCCAGCUUUCUACAUAGCAAUUUAAACUCCUAUAUGCUGUCAGCAUAUGAUUUUCUCUAAGUUCUUUCAUGGCAAAUAGGCUUUAUAGCAAUUAGAAGCUCUAGUAAUCAAGAAUUCCAUUGUUUCACUCUUUUUUAUAGAGUAAAUAGCAUCACUCUAACCAGAAAUUCACCUCACCUAGCCUCAAAUUUCAUCUACCAACUGAAUUCACAUAGUUCUACUAGGUUUCUUCAUAGAAUUACAUGCUAAUAGCAAGUUCUAAUCUCCAAUAGAUCCAAAACUCAACCCUUUAUAAAGUAGACAUCAUAAGCCUAACCAAAAACAGCAAGCCUACCUCAAAUCUCGUCUUCAACAGGUUGCUUCCCUACUCCUAAAGCUCCUUCUCAGCUCAAAACUACACUUUCAUCAAGAGCUUUCUUUAAACCCAUCCAUGGUUGGUUUAGAAAGAGAGGAAGAAAGAAGUGAGAAGAAAGGAGAAGAGAGAGAGGUGGAUACAUAUGGAAGCUAUUGGAGGGUUGCUGGUUUAAAGAUAAGACCAGACAAGUGCCAAAGGCCCCUUCACAAAACAGGAAUUAACUCUUCUACAAAGUAGGAAUUCUGUUUACAAAACAGUCCGUGCAGCUUUUACAAAACAGUCCUUGCAAUUUCUUUUUGCACUUGACGGCAGUAGCAGCAGCAGCAGCUCUCGGCAGCAGCAGCAAUAGCAGCAGCAGCAGCAGCACUCAGCAGCAGCAGCAGCAAUUGCUCCUACGCUCUCACACAAUGCUGAAAUUCUAUUUUUACAGAUUGGUCCCUGUAGUUUUUUUUUUUAGUGCAAAAUCUGCACUUAGCGGCAGCUUGCAACAACAAUAGCACACUCCGAAAUCAUUUUCUCGCUUCCACUACGUUUCGAGCACCUCCAAAUAAUUCUAACACAUGCCCUUAUCAAUCCCCACGCCGCCAAUUUAGCAAGGGAAUACCAAUUUACAUUCUUGCAUUACUUUGAUCACUUUUAUCAAAGUUAGCUUCACCUUCGGAGAUUCGAUAUAUUGUAUUCUAAAGACAUUCAAAAUCUGCCAUAACCAUCCUCACACUUCCAAAAUGAUUAGGGGAUGUCACAAAUUAUACAUAUGCCUCACUUUGACCCAUUCAAUCAAAAUUAGCAUCGCAAUCCAAAAACUCUCUUUCGAGUUCAUUUCGCAUCCAAUUUGCACUAAAACAUUCAAUUACUUCCCAAAAUCAUUCCCACACCUCCAGAAUUAUCCGGGAAAGAUGCACGUCCAGUUCAAACUUCACUUUGAUCCCUUAGAUCAAAGUUAGCAUUGUAACUUGAAAAUUUCAGUAUAUUACAACUAAGGAUGGCGGUUCAAUACGAAAUGACAAACGAAGAAAAUAUUCUUUUGAGACUCGAUGAAUUGGAUUCAAUGGAUGAAAUGCGAUUGGCUGCGCAAUAGAACCUAAAACUUUAUCAGUCUCAAAUGUCAAGGGCUUACAACAAACUAGCACAUGUCCGAACUUUUCAGGGAGGAUAUUUAGUACUAAUUCACUGACGGCCUAUAAUUAUAAACAAAUAUGCUGGGGGCAAAUUUGAUCCAAAUUGGGAAGGUUCCUAUGUUAUAGAAAAAGUGAGGGAGGAACUUAUCAAUUAAUCGAUGCAAAAGGAGAAAUGCCGAAGCCACCGAUCAACGGACGAUUUUUGAAGAAAUACUAUCCGUAAAAAAAAAAAAAAGGAUAAAAGAAGAGAAAUCCGGCUAUGAAUAAAUUUCACGGGCAAAAAUGGAAUCCCUGCUGUGAGAAAACCUGCAUUUGGCUCACAGGCAAAAGUUAGGGGAAAGGUUUCUAGCAAAAACCCUCAUAGGCGCAGUUUCCAAUAAACCUAAAAUCCACACUUUUUUCUGCCGAUGAUGGAAUGCUAACUCACCCUUUGGAGUCGGUUAUGCGCAGCAAUCUCGAUAUACCGAGUUGCUUACGGAGGCCAAAUAAACUCAACAAUAUUCUUUGUUUUCCCUGCCGACGAUGGAAUGCUAACUCACCGUUUGGGGUCGGUUAUGCGCAGCAAUCUCGAUAUACUGAGUUGCUUCCGGAGGCCAAAUAAACUCAACAAUAUUCUUUGUUUCCUCUGUCGACGAUGGAAUGCUAACUCACCCUUUGGUAUUGGUUAUGUGCAGCAAUCUCGAUAUACCGAGUUGCUUCUGGAGGCCAAAUAAACUCAACAAUAUUCUUUGUUUUUCUUGCCGAUGAUGGAACGUUGACUCACCCUUUGGGGUCGAUUAUGCACAGCAAUCUUGAUAAACCGAGUUACUUCCGGAAGCCAAACAAACCCAAGAAAAUUCAAUUUUCCUUUAUUGCCGACGAUGGAAUGCUAACUCAUCUCUUCGGGGUCGAUUAUGCGCAGUAAUCUCGAAACACAGAAUUGCUCCUGGAGGUCAAACAAACUCAACAAAAUUCUUUAUCUUUCGCGCCAAUAAAAAAAAAUACUAGUUCAGCAUGUGAGGUUGAAUGUGCAAACAGAUAUCAGCAAACUGACUUUUUUCCCAAAAAAAAAGAAAAAAAGCAAAGAGAGAAUAUGUGAAAGGAAGAGAUAAUAAAAAGGGUUUGCACCUUUUUCUGCUCGCAAAAACACUCGCAGCAAAAGGUGGGGGGCAUUUUGUUUGAGUAAAAAAAAAAAGAAAAAUAAAAAAUAAUAAUAAUAAAAGGGGAAGAAAUGAAAAAAAAAGAAGAAGGAAAGAUAUAAAGAUUAAAAAAAAAAAAUCCCACCUCUUUCCAAAAAAAAAAAAACAAAGGAAAGAAAAGAUUCUAAGAAAAAAGAGUAAAAAAAAUCCAUAUCUUAUAUGGUCAAGGUACCAUUCCUUUUUGAAUUCUUUUUUGAAUAGUUUCCCAAAAAAAAAAAAAAAAGAAAAAGAGAAGUCAUUAGAGUUUAAUAUAAGUUGGCCUCUUUAAAAAAAAAAAAAAAAAAAAAANNNNNNNNNNNNNNNAAGGAGAGAGAACCGAAAGAGAAGAAAAAAAAAGAAGAACAGAAAGAAGAAGAAAAAAGAAAAGAAAAAAGGUGAAAAAAGAAAAGUUUUUUUUUAUACUCUCCCUCCCCCUCUCUCUCUCUCUCUCUCUCUCUCUCGCUCGCUCGCUCGCUCUCGCUCUCUCGCUCUCGCUCUCUCGCUCGGAUGCAUGCAUGAGGAGGGGGAAACCCCCUCCUUGACACGCUAGCAGAGGGAGUGCCAUGUGCACCCCCCCACCCCCUUUGUCCGUACCACAACAAAAGAAAAAAGAAAAAAAAAGGAUUCGGCUCUUGCAUUCGACGACAACGGCGACAACGACAAUCACGACAACUUUUACGACAAUAAGAGAUAUGCAUGCAUACGAAUAGCGUAAGUGCGAUUUUCUUGUCGGUUUGAUCAACCCGACCAUCUUCGUGAUAGGUUUCGAACCGAUCAAAUUUGACAUCAAAUCGUCACAUCCGCCGUGCGUAUGCAUCGCUAAUCUCUAAACCGUGCGGCCAUCUUCGCGAUAGGCUUGACAUGGUCAAAAUGAUUGAUCGAACACCGGAUAUUUUUCUACGUAAAUCGUGCGGCCAUUUUCGCGAUAGGCUCGACAUGGUCAAAAGGGUUGAUCGAGCGGCCAUCUUCGUGAUAGGUUCGACGCAAUCAAGCCUGUUUAUUUUACUACGUAAACCGUGCGGCUAUCUUCGCGAUAGGCUCAACAUGGUCGAAAGGGUGAAUCGAGCGGCCAUCUUCGUGAUAGGCUCAACACGAUUAAACCCCGCGUACUUGAGCAAAACGUGAUAAAAAAAUAUACAAUAAUAAAAAUGAUAAUAAAAAAAAAUGAAUGUAACAUAUCAGAUUUUGGUAUAAAAAUAAAAAUAAAUAAAAAUAGUGUGUGAUACUACUUUUAUUGGAUUUAGAGGAGUAAAACAUAAGUAAGAAGUGACUUGUGCAGAAAUCGGGAUGAAAACAGAAGAUCUAGAAUUUUCUGUUGGAAACGGGACAGAUAAAUUAGCAGAAAAUGCACAGUCUCAGAAAAUUAUAAAAAUUGGAGGAUAAGUCGAAAAUAUUUUUAGGAGGCUAGAUUUAAAGUUUCAUAUUAUUCUGACACCCGUAGAGUGAGAAAUAAAAUUCGAUAGCUAUCUGAUAAAGAUUACAGUUCGGUACAAUUUUCAGUGACCAAACGAGGUCGAAACUGAAAAUUUAAGAUAUAUUCUUACUCAGUACAUUAAACCGAGCCUGCCUGUCAAAUUUGAGCUCAAACGGACAUUCAGAAGGGCUCCAAUUGUUCCGAACUGCUAAACUGCUGCCCGAGGUGAAUAGUGAAUAGUUGAGGGGCUGAUUUGUAAAAAGGGAUUUAAUCCCUUUUCUUCUUCUUCCUCCCAGCCGCACACCACACACGCACACACACAACACACACGCAUGGAAAGGAAAAGAGAACCCUCCUUUCUCUCUCUAAAUCUCUCCCAAAAGAGAGGGUUUUGGUGGAGAUUGAAGCUCAAGGAUGGAUUUUCAUCUUCUCCAUCUUCUUCCUUGCAUGAGAAGCAAGCUUUGAAGGUAAGCUCCAAAACCCUUUAAUGGUGUCUCCUUGUAGUUUGGGUUUUAAGCUUCAAGAAUGGAUUUAGAGCUAUUCUAGCAUGCUAAAGAGAUGAUUGUUGCUUAAAUCAUGGAUCAAUUUAAUGAUUUCUUGCCUAGUUUUAAACCUAGGGCUUGAAAUGAGUUUUUUUGAACCCUCUCAUGGUAGAUCUUUAAAGCUUCAUUUAUAAUCCAUAGAAAUGGUUUAUUUGGAGUCCUAGCAUGCUAAAUAGAGGGUAAAUGUUAGAACCUAGGAUCAAUUUAGUUAAUUCUUGCAAUAGAUGAAACCUAGGGUUCAAAAUGCAAUUUUUGAAAAUAUAAGGGUUUGAUCUAAUUUGACCCUUUGUAAACCUAAUUGCUAGGUAAACAAACGCGUUGGCGAAGUCAGUUCGGCGAUUCGUCGAGCCAUUGCGAAGUUAUUAAAGAAACGGACGUUUAGGCUUCGUUUCCGCCUGGAGGGCCGAGGCGACAUCGUAAACUCAUGAAAAUGGAUUUGAAGCACCGUGGCGCAUAACCGAAGACCCAUAAUUCUCGGUGCCGCGAUUCGACGCACGGUUGGUGAGCAUUAGUAAAGUCGGGCCGAACCGGGUGCCGGGUGCCGUGGGAGGCCGAUUGCAAGUGUCGACAAGCAAUCGGAAUGCGAAAUAAGGUGGGUUGUGCUCACCGAAACGACUAGGUCGCCUAUAUGUCUAAGAGUAAUGGUUCUCUAGUUGAUGCAUAUAGUUGUGUUGGUAGGCUUAUAUAAUGAUAUGAAUGCUUGAAACAUACUAUGUAGUUGAGAUUACCUACCAAUGAGAUGAGAUGCAUAAUGAAUUAAAUACUAAAAGAAUGCAUGAGAUGCUUAGUAUGAACUAUUUUGGAUAAUGACUAUAUGUAUGUUGACAUAUCAUGUGAUGCUAGUGGUAUAUGUGCAUGAUGACAUAUUAUGAAUUAACAUAUUGUGGAUUAUGUUAAAUAGAAAAACAUACUUGAUGACAUAUUGUCAUAUUGUGGAACAUAGUAGAUGAAAAUGUAUGCAUGUUGAUAUACCUUGAGAUAUGAGUUGAUAUAUAUGCAUGUUGAUGUAUUGUGGACUACGUUAAAUAACAUAUGCAUGUUAAACUUGGGUCUAUACCUCUUGGAUGGUUAGAAAACUCGAUGUUGAAAAAUAAUGACGUAUGAACUAUGAUAUGCGACGUGGACAAUCUAUAUAUAUUAGAUCGAGUGGCAUAUGAUUAGUAUAGUGGAAACACUUAUGACAUGUUGAACACUUAGAAAACAAGUAUGGCAUGAGUCCAAGAAUAUAGUAGUGUAUAUGACACAAGUGAUAGUAAAGAAUGCAAAGAAAAGAAUGAUUGAAAUAUUAUGACAUUUCAACCCUAGAGUUAGGGUCAUUUGAACAUAGUCUUUCUAAAGUUAAGGAAUUGAUUGAACUUGGAGUCCUCAAAUGUAGGAUUGAUCAUACUCACUUUUAGUCCUUGCUCGAGGUUGUGGUAACUCUCCCUCGGGCGAUGUGCUCCGGAGUCGACAUCACUGGGUUAUAGCGAGUAUCUCCCCAGAAGACGGUCCCAUCGGGUCGUAGCGAGUAUCUCCCUGAUUAUUGGGAUUUUGAGUUUGUGAGUUUGUUGAGGGCAAAACCUUCGGGUUAGCCAAGAGAUUGGGUAACAAGCACAUGAGUUGUAGCAAUAUCCUAGUUGAGUGGACUUAAGGCUGAGGUGCAAGUGAGACGUCCUUCGCCUCGAGCCUGGCUUUAUGCGGUACUCUGCGAAUGAUUGACUCGAGACCGAGUCGUGUGGAUAGUUGAUAAAGGUAAAUGAGACCAUAUGAUCAGAAUUGUAAUUGAUAUGAAUUUAAAAUAGUGGAAUAACUUCGAAGUCAAUUGAAUGAGCUUUGAAUAGCAGGAUUAAAGUAGUAUCGAUUGAACUACUAAUUGGUUGCAUAAAUCGCAUGAUUUUCAUAUUGCAUAGUUGUGAGGCAUGACAUGUAUUUCAAUUAUCGCAUAUAUAUAUAUGUUGGAUAUUUGUUGGACUAACAUGUUGCAGUGCCUCCUUGGACCUGUGGGUCGAGCUCUUCCCUUGGGUGGCCGUACCCACUGGGAACUAUAUUUAUAUAGUUCUCACCCCCGUGUUGUUUUUGGGGGUACAGGUUCCCACGUGAGCGGCGCGGCGGCGCGAGGAGAGGGCGUAGCUCCGUAGAUAGCGCCCUACCACCGAGACCAGAGAUAGCGGUACCCUGAGUCGGCCUUUACUUAGGGAUGUAAGAAAAUGAAAAGAAUCAAGUUGUAAUAAUUUGUAAUAAAAGCUUGAUUGUAUUUGGAAGUUAAAUGUAAUGUGUAAUUAUGAUGUAAAAUAUAUCUAGUGGAUGUGAAUGCUUGUAAUAGCAAGUAAAUUAUGUUUUUGAUACUUCCUUAUGCAAUCUUUGAUUGAAAUGUGUUCCUAGUUGGAACUUUGUAUAUUGUAUUGAUUGCGACGCCUUGAACAUACAGGGGAGACACUGUCCGCGGUACCGUGGAA